Molecule: long non-coding RNA, 45072 nt
Filed under: Phoenix dactylifera (date palm)
Lineage: Eukaryota; Viridiplantae; Streptophyta; Magnoliopsida; Arecales; Arecaceae
Description: long non-coding RNA (PDAC_LNC001668)
Source: RNAcentral
UAGAGAUGACAAUUACUUAUUUUAAAGGUCUCUUAUCUAUGUAUCAACAGAGCACAAGAUGAACAAUAGAAAUAUAGCUAGCGAGCUAAAGUAUGGUAUACGCUAAAAAUUUGCAAAUCAAAACUGUAAACCUUCAUUUAAAUAUUAGCAUGAUGGCAAAGGCAGAAGCUAUGUUUAUUGCUAUGAGUACGCGAAAAAAGCCAUUAAAACAUGAAAGGUUGGUAGAAAUAAUUAGAAAAAUUCUGCCUUUUUGUGAGCAUUCAUAAUUCGAACUAAAGACUUGAAAUUUGUUAGAAAGAUUUAGUCAACAAGGUCAGGAUUUCUGUUUUUUUUUUUCCCUUGAUGGCACCUAUUCUAGUGCACCAAGAUAGAGAUGAUAAUGGGUUGGGUAUGUUAUUAUUCGUAUCAGCCGUCUACUUGCUUCAAGGCGGGGAGAGGCAAGUAUGGUGUUUGGCGGAGAUGGGGCAGCAAAGUUAAACAAGAUGGGUUGAAAGGAUCCGGUUGGGUAUAAUUAUAAAAAAUAUUUUUUUAUACAAAUCAAAUAAGUAAAAAAAUAUAAAGAUAAAUCUUAGUGCUUUACAUAAUAUUAAACAAAAUAAGUGCCGAAGAUAGAGAACAUAAUAAACUAAAUGUUCAACGUAAACAUAACAAAUAAAAAUAUUAUUUUUUAAAAAUUCAAAUAUUCUUAAGAUAAGAAAAACAAUCAACUAAAAAUAAAUAAUUAAACAUCAUGGCAGUAACUUUUCAUGUGUUCAAUCUUUCUCACAAGUGGAACAGCUAGGACAAAGGGUGGAGGGGCUUUGUGAAGAGUUAAUUAUAUGGAUCAGGUUUGAGGUGGGUUAUAUCAUUAGGCAUACUUGCUCAAGAUCCACUGUAGGUCAGCUAAAAUCUGCUCCAUUAGGAUCAGAUCAAGUUUAUCCCUAAUAGGGCGGAAUAAAUUGCUAUUUUUACACCAAAACAAUGAUCUGAGAAAGGGAGAGAGACAUCGUGACACUGUCUCUUGAUGAGGAGAUAAUUGUCUUUUUGUAUAUUUCCCCUUAUUUGAUGAACAAAUUAUGGAAUUUCGUCGGGGUUUAUUUAGGAAUGAAAUGAUGGUUGUUUUAACUGUUGAUGGUGAAAAAAGAACUUUAUUGUUUUCCAAGCUAAUAUUCACCAAAUAAAAUUACUUUUUGCGAGUUAACUUAUAGAAUUGAAUAAAUAUUAUUUUAUUUUAAUUAACAGUAAAAAAUCAAAAAUUACAAUUCUCUCUCUCUCACGCACGGAUAACAGCCAUUGAAACUGCUUUUAUUAUGUACUUGUUGUUUUUUUUGUUAAUUAUCAGAAUACCUUGGCAUAACAGGACGCCCCUGAAUACAUUGCAUCAGAAGGUUUAACAUCUUCUUGCCUGUUUCGUUUUAGCAGGCGGGAAGCAUCGCCUCGUGCAUUUAAAUCAAGGAAAGAAAGGAAAAUCUGGGAGAUAUUGGACUUCAAUUGGACAUAAUAAUCAAUAAUGGGUUCCUGAUAAAAUAGAGUUAAGAAUAGUAAGGCCCUAUUUGGGGGAGCUUUUGGAGGGCCAAAAAGCACUUUCUAGCCCUCCAAAAGUACUUUUAAGUAAAAAAGAGUGAUUGGUAAAAUUUUGGAAAAGCUGUUUCAGCUUUUGCGGAAAGUUGAAAACAGCUUCUUGGCAGAAGCUCCAUUUUGGAGCUUUCCGAAAACACUGUUUUCAGCUUUAUCGGGAAGCUGUAUUUUUGACCAAAAUACCCCUAUUUAAAAGUUCNNNNNNNNNNNNNNNNNNNNNNNNNNNNNNNNNNNNNNNNNNNNNNNNNNNNNNNNNNNNNNNNNNNNNNNNNNNNNNNNNNNNNNNNNNNNNNNNNNNNNNNNNNNNNNNNNNNNNNNNNNNNNNNNNNNNNNNNNNNNNNNNNNNNNNNNNNNNNNNNNNNNNNNNNNNNNNNNNNNNNNNNNNNNNNNNNNNNNNNNNNNNNNNNNNNNNNNNNNNNNNNNNNNNNNNNNNNNNNNNNNNNNNNNNNNNNNNNNNNNNNNNNNNNNNNNNNNNNNNNNNNNNNNNNNNNNNNNNNNNNNNNNNNNNNNNNNNNNNNNNNNNNNNNNNNNNNNNNNNNNNNNNNNNNNNNNNNNNNNNNNNNNNNNNNNNNNNNNNNNNNNNNNNNNNNNNNNNNNNNNNNNNNNNNNNNNNNNNNNNNNNNNNNNNNNNNNNNNNNNNNNNNNNNNNNNNNNNNNNNNNNNNNNNNNNNNNNNNNNNNNNNNNNNNNNNNNNNNNNNNNNNNNNNNNNNNNNNNNNNNNNNNNNNNNNNNNNNNNNNNNNNNNNNNNNNNNNNNNNNNNNNNNNNNNNNNNNNNNNNNNNNNNNNNNNNNNNNNNNNNNNNNNNNNNNNNNNNNNNNNNNNNNNNNNNNNNNNNNNNNNNNNNNNNNNNNNNNNNNNNNNNNNNNNNNNNNNNNNNNNNNNNNNNNNNNNNNNNNNNNNNNNNNNNNNNNNNNNNNNNNNNNNNNNNNNNNNNNNNNNNNNNNNNNNNNNNNNNNNNNNNNNNNNNNNNNNNNNNNNNNNNNNNNNNNNNNNNNNNNNNNNNNNNNNNNNNNNNNNNNNNNNNNNNNNNUAUAUCAUAUAUUUAUGUAUUAAUAUAUAUUAUAUUUUUAUUAUGCACUAUUGUAUAAUACUAGUAAUGUCCUUUAUGAUCAUUUUGUCAUAUAAAAGUACUUUCUCAGUUUGUUUACCAAACAAAUGUUAAAGUGCCACAGCACUUUAGAAAUGUAGUUACCAAACAACAAACAGCUUUUUAUAAAAGCUCUACUUCCAACAGCUCUACUUCGAACAGCUCUAGUUCCAACAGCUCUAUUGCCAACAGCUCCCCCAAAUAGGACCUAAGUGGUUGCUUAAUUUGUUGAACGAAGUACUAGAAAACUUUUUGACUCUGAGUGGCACAUUUGUAUAAGAUGCCAUCUAAUGAGGCUGAAUGGUUCAUGUUUGGGAUCAUCCGUUGCCAUUCCAGCUUUCACGACAAGCCCCUACCUUGUUUAGAGUUGCUAGGCCAAUUAAGAUCUUCAUGGAGUCAAAUUCUUAAAAUAAAUGGGAUAAGGCCUGUUUGUGAAGGCAUGAGCACGACUGAGCUUAUUUGUUAAAACUUGCUGCCACAACCAAAUGAAGAAGUUAGAAUUUGAAAUCCUAGAACCCCAGAUAUGACACUUGUCUUCGCUGUAGCUCAGAGAAGUAGUGGAAAUAAAAUAUUAGAUGGUCUGAAAUUAAAGUAGAUCUAAUAUGGAGGCGCUUAUACAACAGUAUAAAUAAGAUUGGCCCUAACUGCAUGACUGAGAGCCUAGCAUCAAUAAUCCAAACUGCUGGAUAUGGUUUAUAAUCUCUCUAAACUGCGUACUGUUAAAAAAACUUAUAUGGCUUGAAGUCCUCUAGCAUAUGCAUCAUGUAUAAAUUUAGUGAUAAAAAAUGAACAGUUUAAAUGACACGAAGAUUAUAUAUUUUAUGAUCACUAGAUGCAAGUCGCUUGGACUAUCAAUGCUGGGUCCUUGGUUGACAAGUUUGAGCUGCCUCUGGCCAAUCUUAUUUAUACUGUUGUAUAAGCGCCUCCUAUAAUCCUGAAAUUGUAUUGAAAUAGUUCUCUAGCAUUGGAGGAAUUUCUUCGACUCAACAAGCUCUCCAUAUAAGGUGAAUCCUCUGGACUAUGGAGACAUUACCAACUAUUGGUCUAACCUUUUCCGUUACAAAUCAGACACUCCUUGAACAGCCUUUGAUAGUGCAAGUUGUCAUGAAGUAGGAUGCCAAAAAUGACACAUAACAAUGAGAAACAUGAGAGAAUUCAAAACUAACAGAAAUUCAUCAUCUCUGAACUGUCAAAUUAAGCUAAGCAUGGAUCUUUCCAGUUACCUCCAAUCAAAUUUUUUCUUUCUCCAGAAGAAGAUGUACAUAAUAAAGAACAACAGAAUAAACAUACAAAUAAGCAAGCAAAAAAUAAAUUUUCCAAAAAAGGUAUGAUAAAUAUAACAAUCCAGAAAAUAAUAAUAAUAGGAUGUGCUCACUGAUUUUACGAGCUCCCUAGUUUAUUCCAUUGGGUUUAUUUUGCUUUGACUUGGCCAAGCUAACAAGAUCGCCGAAUAACUUAUCUUCAGGCUUUGAUGGUCUGUUGGACUGGUGACUGUAAAAUGUGGAUGAAGCAGACAUUGGAUAAGAGGAGUUCAUAUUCAUGUAACUACUGUUGUCUUGCAGGGAAAGCCCAUACAUUCUCUGAGAAAUAUCAUUUGGACCCACAUAAGGGUACAGAGGUCUCUGAUUAUAGUACCGAGCUUCUGGCUGUUGACCAUAUCCAUAAUUUAUCCACUGAACACCCUGCAUGAGUUGUUGCUGCAUGCCUAUGAAUUGCCCACCCUGAAUAGGUUGGGAAUAUAAACCUCCCAGCUGGUUGCUCUGCAUUGGUGGGGCUGACAUACCAAUCUGCUGGUUGCUCUGAAUUAGUCCAGGAUGCAUUCCUCCAAGGUGGCUGCUUGGGAUUGGCCGGGGAUGAAUAACUCCCUCAAGUUGGCCACUCUGCAUUUGUUGAGGCUCAAGCAGUUGGUUAUUCUGAACAGUCUGAGCUUCCCAUGGUGGCAGAGGAAGAGCUCCACCUUGAUCAUUUGUAUCUGUUUGAGAUAAAAGAGAUUUUAGUGAUACUAUGCCCUCCUAUGACCAAUGAAAACUUGCGAUAGAUUGUAUGGUUUAAGAGAUGGUGGUGGUUUUGGAAACUGAAAAAUAACAAAAAACAUCUCAAUCAAUAUCAAUUAGUUUAGUAUUUCCAUGCAACAACUUAGAAAUAUUAACCUUCCAUAGCACACUUAGCAGAUGUGGAAAAAGAAACAUUCAUGGACAACCACUUCAAGAUUUGACAUGUAGAAGAACAGAGAUUUCAGGCAUGCCACUGAUGAUAGAAUGUUUUGUCACUUGACUGUAUUUUAAAAGCAGUAAAAUAGUCAAGGAAAGGCUAGAAGACUUACUGUAAGUUGCCUGCUGCUGGGAACUCAAGCGAUGAGAACUUUGACUAUUCCAUGCAGGAUUUGCUUGAUUCAAUUGGGUUGCUUGGAUAUAAGCUGCUUGUUCAUAUUGAGGUACCCCAGAAUUUGGGACACUUCCAUUGGAAUAAUUUGUAGACUGAUGGAGUUCUAGUUGAAGCUGAGGUGCAGCAGGAUAUGUCUGUGAUGCUGGAUACACUGUAUUAGAAUCAAUAGCAUUGGUAGGUUUGUUGCUGUUAUUGCUGUUUUGAGAAAAUAUAUCAGAAAGAGCCAAAAUGUUCUUCUCAGUUCCAGAGCUAGCAGAACUAUCAACUAGGUCAGUAACAGGUACAAGUGCAAGUGAAUUCUCCGAUGUAGGUUUACUGAAAUCCUCGCCACUAAGAAGGUCCAUGUUAGGAUCAAUUAUUUCUAAUGAGGUUGCCGCACCAUUAGAUGCUGGAGGAGCAGGUAGCAGUAAUUGCUGAAGAGGAGUCUGCUUGUUUGUGCUUGUGCUCAUAUUGGACCUACAGAAUAAAUGCAUUAUGCCUUCAGGCAAAUAUGAGAAAUUGAAAAUGAACAAAAUCAAAGCCCUCGACCUGAUCAAACAAGGCCAAAGUUUGAACAUGGAUUUAAAGGUAAAGCAGUCAAAAGAAACACCGGGAAGGUCAGCCAAACAAAAUUUAAGGAGAGCCCGCCUAUUGGUGCAUCAAAGUUUUAUCAGAUUGAAAAUAAAUGACCACUACACAUUAAAAGCAACUUUAUAUGUAACUUCAGGUGAACUGUUGAGUAAGCAAUAAAUAGAGUUGUUUUUGAAAGAAUAUUGACUACCUUUGAUUCAAAUGUGCACUGCUAUCUGCAUUUGUUACAGAAGAAUCAUCAACAUCUACAAGUGCUUGAAGAGUCUUUGGCUUCUCUGCAUGAACAGCAAUUCCUGAAAGAACGGCAUCAUGUCUGGCUAGAAUUCGCUGCAACUCAUCAUUUAGUGCAAGUCCUUCGCGAAGCAGUUCCUCAUCCCUAUAAAUGUUUAGAAAGCAGACAGUAAACAGCCAUUUAGCAAACUGCAACAGACCAAAAUUUCAUUCAGACUUCCAAUUAGGUUAAUAUUGCACAAAAAAGAUUUAUUCCUAUAUCACAGCAAGUCAAAGCAUAAUAUGUUGGAUUUGUUUGGUUCUAUGUUAAGGGAAAAGAAAAGGAAUCAGAGGUAUUCAAAUUAAAACUAUGUAUGGUUCUAUACACAUUGAUUUUGAGGCAGCUUUGGCAAAAUGCCAGCAUAUAAAACAGCCCUUAAAAAUUAAGAGAGAGAGAGAGAGAGAGAGAGAGUUGCACAGAAACAGAAAGGCUAGCCAAAGAACAAAAGGAUACAUGAAAAAAGAAAACUAAAUGACAAGGACAAAAGUUUUUUUUGUCUACAAGCAUAAAGUUCUUAUUUCAACAAAACAUACGAAAAAUGGAAGGUUGCCUUUAAGAGGGAUAUAACAUUAAAUUAAAUCAGAUUCUUGACAAAAUAAAACAUUGAAAAAAAGUUCAAAUGUUCUUUACAAACAACUGUAUUUUAAGGAUUACACACUGAAACGUAAAUAACUCUUUGGAAGUCUUACGAAGUCGUGUUCACAUGGUGCAUCACUCUCUGUUUGUUUGAACGGCACUGAUCAACAAGGUCGACAAGCACCUCCUGUGUGAGUCCCUGAAUAUUAGCAGUAUCAUGGCUCAGCACUUGUAAAGUUAAGCUGUAUGGUAGAAAUCUAGAAAUGCAGUUGGCCUGAUUAGUACCAUACGCUAACAGUUUCUUCGUGAACUCUAAGUAGGAUAUUAGAAUUGAAAUAAUAAUUACAAGUUUCCUUCAUUGACAGUCCAUACUUCCACAUGUAUAUGCAUAUUAUUCAUUAAAUUGGGACAGCUUCAGUGUUCCUAGGUAAUCUAUUCCAAAAGAUAUCAUGGAUCGUCUGAGGGACGAUCAAUGUCAUUCGCCUGCAUGUCUGAAAACACAAGUACACCAAAAUUCGAGUGUUUGAUAGCUUCUAGAGAUGGAUAAUGGCUAAACUUUUGUUGUGUUAUGGAAAAGUUAUCCAUUUAGCGGUUACUUGAUGCAUGGAUAACAAGUUUCCACACCAAAAAGUUUGUUCAGAAGAGCUUUGGAUGUCAUAAAUCAUGAGGAACGAUGUGGAUCAUCAACGCAUGCUCUACAAUUAUAGAAAAUACAGGGCAUGACCAAGUUAGCUAUGCCCUGAGAACAAUAAAGCAAUUCCAGUGUUUAUGAUACACAUACUGUAAUACAAUACAGAUACUCAUAUUCAUCCAUUUAGACAAAUAAAGAUCAUAUAUGUUUCAUUUCACAAUGGAAAAGGAACAUCAUGCAUAAACAUAUACACACAAACACAUACACACAUACAUACAUACAUACAUACAUACAUAUAUAUAUAUAUAUAUAUAUAUAUAUAUAGAAAGUUAAACAUAGAACCUAUGCUGAUAAGCUCUCUCUUAUAUCNNNNNNNNNNNNNNNNNNNNNNNNNNNNNNNNNNNNNNNNNNNNNNNNNNNNNNNNNNNNNNNNNNNNNNNNNNNNNNNNNNNNNNNNNNNNNNNNNNNNNNNNNNNNNNNNNNNNNNNNNNNNNNNNNNNNNNNNNNNNNNNNNNNNNNNNNNNNNNNNNNNNNNNNNNNNNNNNNNNNNNNNNNNNNNNNNNNNNNNNNNNNNNNNNNNNNNNNNNNNNNNNNNNNNNNNNNNNNNNNNNNNNNNNNNNNNNNNNNNNNNNNNNNNNNNNNNNNNNNNNNNNNNNNNNNNNNNNNNNNNNNNNNNNNNNNNNNNNNNNNNNNNNNNNNNNNNNNNNNNNNNNNNNNUAUAUAUAUAUAUAUAUAUAUAUAUAUAUGAAAGUUAAACCAUAGAACCUAUGCCUGAUAAGCUCUCUCUUAUAUCAUUUGAAAAGGCAAGGUUGAAUUUAAUGGCUGCAUGUUUUUUUUUUUGUUAAGAAUUUCGUUACUUUCACUGCAAAUGCUUCGAUUUUGAAAAAUCCUAAAUAAGGUAUAUCAAGUAGUGAUAAACUUUAGUUCAAUACUCUAAAAUUGGUGCAAAGCUGAAUGAAUGACGCAUUGGCAAUUUCUAAGUUUGGCAUUUUAGUCCACAGAAAAAGGUCAUGCAAGAAUACAUUAAAACCUUAUCUUUGUGCUUUCCAUUAAAGCAAAGUAUAAGAGACAACCACUGCCACACAUGAGCUUCUAUAUUGCCCUCUGUACAGACUCAACCAUUUGCCUCAAGGCAUAUUUGGAACAUGUUGCCUCUUGGUCUGAGGUGAGGCAAAACCUUGAAAAAGGGUCUUUUCAGCAACAUAUAUAGCAUGCACAGCCUAGUAAUGGGCAUGAGGGAAAAUGGUAAGGUUGCUCCAGUGUGGCGUAGGUGUCACGAGUUUGAAACACAGAAACAUCCUCAUCAUGCGCAAGGGUAAGGCUGCAUAUAGUUGUCCCGUCCCAGAUCUUAAGAGUGGUGGGAACCUCGUGCACCGGACAACCUUUUUUUAGCCUAGCAAUGGGCAUGUGUGCAUGGAUGGGUGGAUGAAUAUGGUUCCAUAUGGUUCAGAAUUAGUGAUAUAUAUAAAAAUUAAUAAAUGCACUGCACUUCUAGUUGGAACAGUUCUUUGUUGUCUUUUGUGAACCAAGAGGGAAGUAUUCACUCAAAAGGGGAAAAUUUUCAAGGAGAUGGUUUGAUAUGGUUUGAUUUCCCUAUGAAGUUUGCCUUACACGUGCAUCUACAUAUUUACAUAAAUAUGUAUAAAUAUAAGUAUGUAUAAAAUGCAUGCAUGCAUGUCUAUCUGUCUGUGUAUGUAUAUAAAGCCAUCUAUCUUACUUUUAUCAGAUUCACUCUAUAAAUUGCAACACAAGGGGUAUUGGAUCAGGCCAAGUCUAAAAGUUCAUUAGUUUCUCUGUUGGGGAUUUAAACCAUGCACUCAAUGGCUUUAGGUCAGUUUGAAUUCAGUCUGGAAGUUAUGUGCAAGAUCCCAUAUUUGAAACUUGGUGAGUACAAAUCAAUUUUCUAAAAAUGUUGGGUAAGUGACUCGGUUUGAGAAUCAAGCCUAGGUCUGGAUCUCAAAUAAUUACAUGUUUGAUUUGCUGGCUUAAAAUAAAUCAAAAAUGGCCAAAAGCAGAUUUAAGAUAAUAACCAGUUGAAUAUGUCACACACGUGGGUCAGAUGGACUUGAACCUUACCCAAACACAACCUGACCCAAACCUCAACAAUGCAUGAAUUGAAAUACAUUAGUCAGGCAGGAGUCCCAAACCAAGACCUGAACUCUAAUUGAGCCAAGGAUAAACCAAGAAAAGCUGGACCAGAACCAACCAAUCGCAACAAAUAUUAGUCCAGAAUUGAGAUCUAACCAGUAGAAUCAGAGCUGAGCCUAACGCAACCUCAAAUGGGAGCCAACCUUGCCUAGCAAACCAAGUAAAUUACAAGUUAUUUGAGCCUACCAUACAAAAUUUGCAUUUGAUUGAUUGGAGUUCGUAAAACUAAAGGAAUCUAAAUAUAUAUGUCAAUGUCUAACCAACAAAAUGGCUUCAGUUAAUUUAAGAUAAUCCGAUACUAGCAACAUGUUCAAACAAUGAGCCUAUAAAUAAUCGACAACACUAGCAUCUGAGUUAAGUGUUUGCAGCACGAGGUUUUUCAACAGAUUGUUGGAUGUUUCAAUCCAGAUAUCCAAGUUGCAUUGAAGAUUUGUAGCGUUAACAUAUUUUGACAUUAAUCAUAAGUAAAAUUCAAGUCUCAACAAUUACUCCAGUUUUAGAUAUGAAAAUAUAAUCAGCAGCACUAAUUUGCAGAUUACCUUUUUGUUCCCGGGCUCUAAAGCAUUAAGCAUUUGGGAAAGAAUAUCAAUAACACCACGGGCAUUCUGGAUUUCUGCGAGGCUGAACAAAAAAACCUAGUUUCAAUUUACAACAUCAAACAUAGGAACGUCCAAAAGAAGACAAACAGAAAAACAAUACAUAAUCAGGAUAAAGGUAAUCAGAAUAAAAGGACAUAGCAUAAAAAGUUAAGAUCUACAGAAAUUUAGUGUGAUAUUAAGAAGAAUAGAUCAGAAAAGGGAGUAUUAAUACGAAGUUGUUAUAACUUUGCAAUAUAUUCUGUCACUAUAGGUUUGGUUACUCUUCCUUUUAUUUCAUCUAAAAGCGAUUGGUAACUAAAGCCCCAAAUGAGGUGAAAGCCUCCAUAAUAAUGCAACUUACCAGGCUUGAGUGUUUAGAAAGCAAUCAGGCCCAAAUUCAAAUAACAAACAAAUUUGGAAAUUUGUUAUAGGGGCAUGACAAAUAUGCAAACAUAAACAAGCAACAAAUCACAAAAUCCGGCUGUAUCAUUUUCACAUCAAAAUGGAAACUUUUGUUUCCACUUGACCAACACGCAACAAGCAAUCCAAUAACCAUUGUCCAACACCCCACUCUGUACAGUAUGGAUUUAUGAUAUUAGAAAAAUGAAAAUGAAAUCUCAUUCAAAUUGCCAGAAAUAAAACAUACAAAUGAUAAAAAGAAGCUUGAAACUGGAAGACAGAUAAGGCAAUGUUCAAAUUUCAUCAUCUUCUGGUGUAGCUUUCUACUUUUCAUGUAAAGUUGAGAUUCAGUCAUAAGCUAAGGAGGUUAUUUUUCAAAACAUACUGAAACAUGAAAAUAUAUCCCUUAACUUUCUCAUUUGAUCAAAAUUAUGGUCCUCGAGUUGGAAUGGAGAUUGAAAGUGUACCAAGUCAAAUCCAUCCCAAAACCUCAGAGCUUGGGCUGCCCUUGACUCUUCCUAUUGAUUAACAAACCGCAACUUUCUUUCCUCUAUGUACAGGUAUCAUCUUAAUAAUUUGCAAUUCAUUGAUUGUGAAUGCAAUAAUAGAAAUGCUAAUCUAGUAAGUCCUAACAUACGAGGCGAUUCACUUGUACAACUCCUUACUUCCAUGAGCUGUAAGCUUUUGAUAGAGAGAAAGGUCUCUUUGAUGACAAAUGUGGUUUAUCAAUAGAUCGACUAUAGGCUUCUCUGAUAGUUUAAGUAUCUAAAGUGUAAAAUAUCAAGGUUACUACUGCACAAAGUACAUGCAUAUCAAACAAAUAUUCCCAUGAACAAGCACUAGCUAUUGAAUGCUUAAAAAUCUAAAAACACCAAUUUAUUUCAUCACUUAAUAAUUUAAAAUAAGUCAGUGAUAACAUGCAGUUAUCUAAAAAAGGCAAGUGGAAGGCUCCAAGAAAGAAGAUUCUCUAAGAACUUGGUGUCAAAAAUAGUAUCAGACGCAGCAAACUGUCACAACCCAGAAAGUAACAGUAAUUAGAUUUAACAAACUAAUAUUAUAUGGAAUGAACAGAUUAUAUUACAGUACAUGCUGAUGUUGCACUCCUGAAAGCAUAUGACAUGCUAAAACCUUGGGCAAGGGGAACACUAUGCACCUCAGAAUAGGAAAAUCAGAACCCGCAGAAGACUCAGGUGCCUCUUGUUGAUAAUCAGGAUUUAGCUCAGGUCUUUGAGGAAAUAUAGGUGCAGAUCUCUCAGGUCUUCGAGAAAAUACAGCUCCCCCACGCUGAUGGACAAAAGGUUUACCUCAGGAACAUGUGUAUGUCUACAUAUGUAUCUAAAUAUGCAAGAACAUACAUAUGUAUAUAAAUGAUAAUGAGAUAAUCUAACAUGAAUUAUUACUAAAAAAUGUCAAAAUAAUUUUAUCCACCCCAACAACAUUUCUCAGAUGGAUGGACAUGAGUUGCAGCGACUUAUCCACAACUUAAAAAGUAAACAUAUCUAUCGCCACAACUUAUAAAGUUGUAUUAGAAGUCCAAAAGCAUACCAACAACUCCUGAUAUGCUGCAUAAUAUUGUGGAUAUCUUGCCUGUGGACCACCAAUUGCUUCUUGCCAAGUAUCUAUUAACAGAAGUACCUUCUCCUUGACAUUAAUAUCAGCUUGCUGCAAGGAUUUACAAUGAGGUAAUUCAAACUUUUCAAAAGGAAUCAAGGACAAAAAAAAGUGGAUAAGAAAUAAGGUUAUUCUUGAAAUAGUCAAAACCUUCUUUCUCACUAUCAUCACCAUCUCAUGCAGAAUAUCUUUCUCAGCAACAUGCAUAUGGACUAUAUCGCCGCAGUUCUUUACCAUUGUUUCCAGAAGCUGGUAUAAGUUAAAGCAAGAACAUGCCUCCAUUAGUCUAGGAUUUCCAAAACAAGCCAGCAGCAACCGAAUGAAUAUAAAAGAGGAACUGAUAAUGGUGCCAGUGUCGCAAUGGAAAAGAAAAACCUAUAACUAUAGAUGCUUGACAAAGGCAUUUUUUUACUCCUUGAGAAUUUGCUUUGUUCGUUGACUUGUCAUAGCAAAUAUGCUUAAAAUAAGCGUUACCCAGACUCUUUGAUUUAGUGGGAAAUAACCACAUCCAACAAUUGAGCAUGGAAAGUAGUAUGACACUUGGACAUCACUUAAACAUGGGUCCCUAAGACUAAAUUCUUAGAUACUGAAAGGAUCCGACCCUUAGCCACAAUCACACCCCAGACAUGAACCAGAUCCAUGUAAUGUAUUGUAAAAUAACCCCCAUCCCUUGACUUGUGAAAAACUUAUAUACUUCAUAAAAUCACAAAUACUUACUAGUACUUAGCUAUCAUCAUUGAAAGUGUUGAGGAAACACAACUAUGAACAGAACAAAUAAAUCAAAUAAGUAGAGUUGCUUCAAACAGCUGUAUGUACUUGAUAAUCCUAGGCCACUAUUCUGGACAUAACUGACCAAAGGUCCACAACUGACCCAAAGGUGGCUGAAAUCAAAAUCUUUUAAACCUUGAUUCAAAUUAAAAGAUGCUCGAGCUACGGAAAACAAAUUACAAAAUGCAAAAAAUGAGUCUUAUGAAAAACAGUUCUCCCCUUUGCUAUCAUAAAACCUGUUUUACAGACAAUCAGGAUUUACGUUUUUUUUUUAAAAGAAACCUCACAGACAAUGCAACAGCACCAAGGAUCUUCUCCACAUUCUUAGGAAUAACCUUCUAACAUGACAUUUGGCAUAAGCUGAAUCAGUGUUAAUUUUGACCAUAACAAAUAACAAAAAUGAAAACAUGGUUUUAAUUUGGUGUAAAUUUGGAAUGUAAAGCUUAUAUAUGCAUUAAAUGGAAUAAUGUUACAAUAAUCAAGAAUAUGCACAAACAUCUAUCAUACUGCCAAAUCUUCCCCGACAGAUAUGCACUUAAUGAUAAAUACUCAUUUUGCGUGGUUUAUAACUAUCCAUGAGUGCAUUAGGGCAUCUAAUAAUGCUAUAUAGGCCGAUAUGAUAAGGGAUCAUGCUUUGUUCCUUUGUCACAAUCAAUGAUUUUACACUAAAAUACCUUGUUUUUUUUUAAGAAUAAAAUAGCUAGGUUUAAUCCCAUGCUGUAACAAGGAGUCCUCUUGCUCUUUACCUUGAUUGUAAGAUGCUUCACCAGUUUUCUUGAACAAUCUCCAAGGUCUCAACAUAUGCGGCUUCGGGGCUUGUAAAGGCUUGGAGUUUGGACCUAGUUCCCAUCCCACUUAUUUCUUAAGAUGUCAGCUUAAUUUGGUCAAGGAACCUUGAGUUCUUUUUAAAGAUUUUAGUAAAUUAAAAGCUUGUACCAUAAAUCAUAAAGAAAAUAUCACAGGCCUUCUUCAUGACUUCAGUGCUUCCUUACAAUUAAGGUGGAAAUCUUUCCAAUCAACUCUGUGGGACUUACUCUGGGAAAAAGAUACCGUAAGUCACUAGUUAGUUGAAAAAAUAAACUUCUAUCCUUGAGUAGUAGGUUUAUUGUAACAACCCAAGACCUUAUCCCAAAAGACUAGCUAGAAGGAGUUAUUUAGGUUCCUUGGCCCCGUAUAAAUAUCCAAGAUCUACCCGCCGAAGAGACUUAUUCAAUGGUCACUGCUAACCGCUUUUGGUCCCAAAACUUUGGGGUUGCUUAUUCCAAUAAACGUUGGUUACAUUUCUUUAUGCUAUUUGUACUAGUAACCGAUUUAUGGAUGGUGCUCUUGGGAUCCCAGCAUAACGAUUCUAUUUCUGUCUAAAUUUCGGAGUAAAUGAGUUCUAGAUGCGGUAUUUCCUUAGUAAUUCUUUUAGGGCCCUGACUUGUCACGAGUCUGAAUUUCAUAUUUUCGGAGAUAUGGAGCUAAGCAAAUGCCGGCACGAGUCCUCACAUGCUCUCACCAUUUAUGCCUUGGUAUUCUCGCUGGGUUAAGGGUCCAAAUCAAAUCCAAUCACAAGAACCAUAAAUCCAAUCACAAACACUACGACCAGCUCAUGAUUUCUUGAUCCCCAUUUAUUUAUCAUGGACACUAGCAAUUCUUGUAGCAUUGAAUUUCAUAGUUAUGUAAGCAUACCUUCUAAAAGUAAAGUUUGCAUAUGAAGAAAUAAUAUUUUUACAUACUAAGUAUCAUUUCUUCGCAACCCAAAUUUGAUGCCUAAGUGAAGUACAAUCAAAACAAAAUUUCAUAUUGAUUAAAUAAGAAGAAGAGACCUAAAUUAAAUUUAACUAUUAAAUGGAUCAAGGAAUAUCCCAACACUAUAAAAGCAGCGAAUUUUCCCAACUUUUCAAUUCCCAUAAGUCCCUAAUUAGAUUUCUCCUUUAAAGCUCAAACCAUGGCAGGUUUCUAUAGAAAAUGGUUCCAACAUUGUUGGACUCUAAGAAGAACGAGUCCAAGAGGGAACUCUUCUUGAGUUGGGAAUCCAUGUUUCUGUACAUGCUAAGAAUAAAGAAUUGCAUGUCCGUCACAAUCUAAAUUCAUUAGUGAUUUGUUUGACAUAGAAAAACUGAAAGUUAUCUACCUUAAGAACGAAAUAUACCAAAUAAAUCUAAAAGAAUUUCAUAAGGAAGAUAUACAGUGUCAAAUCCAUGUCAAAAUAUUUUGCAUUUUAUCUUAUACCUAAAAUCUCUAGCAGAAGCCACAUGCAUUAAAACUAAUAUAAAUAUAUAUGUUUAACAUUUAAAAAACUGAUAAUAUCAUAAAUUAAUAAUACAACGACAGCACAUGUUAUAGAAUAUAUUAAGCUAAAGUUGCUCUAGAUAGAUUGAAUUUGAUGAUGACGACUAUGAUGACAAUCAUACUAAGGAGCAUGGAAAUAUCAGGAAGCAGGUGGAGGACAGCUACUUUGCAGUAUGUAGAGUAGGAGAUCAAGCUAUUAUGGAUGCAAAAGAUAAGGUCAAGGGACUCAGAAAAAAGAGAAGUUGUGCACAAAGAACAUUCCACUAAGAAAAACAGUAUUCAUGGAAAUUACAAGCAAUAGCAUAAGAUUAUUUUUUAAAUAGUACAUGCCAACAGAGUAACAGAACAGAAUCAGUAGUAAUAAUUUUGGUGCUCACUGUCAAUGCAAGAAGCUGAACUUUUGGAUUCUUAUGCCGAAGACGCUUUUUGAGUCCUUUUACAACAUCCUUUGCUUGUCUGGUAAACCAAAAAUUGAGAAAAAAAAUAAAAUAUUAGAACAGUGAAUUUACUAUUAUUCUGUUUUAGAUAUCAUGAGCAUCAAUCAACAGAUGCCAUUGCAUCAGAGCACAUAAAUGAAGGAUAAAGGUUUAAAUAUGUUUAUGCUCUUAAAUUAUACAGAUGAAAUAUAUUAUUAAAAUGGUUGUGCAUCAGUGCCACCAUUUUGAAGGUCAUUCUAGGUCACAAUUAGCAAGAAAAUAGAAGCCUACAGAAGAUUUUCAUGGUUUGCAUUAUUAUUUAUGUCAAGAAUAAACUAAAGUUACAUAAGCACAAGUCUUGAUUCAAUCACAGAGUAUACAGCAGAUUAGAUCACACAAAAUUCUAGAAGUCUGGCAAUAUUUUCUUGCAAUAUUGCAAUGCAUAUCCAAACAAAGGAUUGUACAUAAUAUAGCAAACCAGAAAACAUGUCAAUGAUUGAGGACUCAAAAUACAAGAAGAAAGUCCUAUCUCACCUCCCUAAUGAAAAUGCUACACAUGCAAAUAGUUGGGGAAUUCAUUUUGAUAUAUGCAGCUUCAAAAGAACAUCCAAAAGCAAAGAAUUGGGCAGUAGACCAUCCGAAGAUUUUGUUUGGACAGUAAGUAUCAGGAUUUUAUUGGUACUAAGCCAGAAGACCAGGAGACCAAGUCUCAUGACACAAUGUGAAGCAACUGUUUUUCUUCGGGUGCACUAAUUGGAAAGAUGUGAAGUUUCCAACAUAAUAUGACAGGGCAUAAAACAAAGUAUUUCAAAAAGCAAAACUAGCAUUGUGAGCACAAAAAAUUGUAUGAUAGGACAGGACCCAAGAAGAGCUAAAUGUACAAUAAAUACUACAGGGGGUGUACAAAACCAGCCAAUCUAAAGAAACUUGCAUUUAAUUAAGUGGUAAAUCUAUUUUCCAAGGACAUUAUUCAUUUUCUGCAUGGACCAAUCCAAACUAAUAAUUCCAAAUAGAUAGAGUUGGCUUAACGAAUCAAAAAAUUAUCCAUCAAGGUUUGAGAAGUUGCUGCUAUCGGCUCUCUAUUACAUUAACUGUCCAGGAUUGAUGCGUAAUUGCUAAAUAGAGGAACUUUUAGACAAGAGUGAGACCUAUCAUCAGACCUAAUAAGACCAAUUCGUACCAAGUACUACCAUAAAGCAUUUGAAUUCAUAUCUACACUCUAUCAAAAAUCAAGAGUUUAAGUCCUCUAAGUCCAUUGAUUUUGCCCUUGGUAAGAUUUCAUUUAGUUUUAUCUGAAAACUUUACUAUCUCUUUAUCAAUAACAAGGAUUUAGGUAUUGGAGCUAGCACUUAUGCCGUUCACCUACCAAUUAGCAUGCAACAUGCCGUGUUAGCCUAUAUGCCACUCUAUAAUGAAGCAAACAAAUAAAUAAAUCAAUAAUCUUUUUUAAUUAUGAGUGGUACAAACAAGCAUGAUCAGCACUUGAAACGAUGAAUAAUGGCAUGGGUAAAUUAGGCAAAAAUAUUGAUUGCCUCUAAUGACAUGCUAGUCUAAUUUGCAAUUCACCCACCACAAUGAUUAAUUAAGAUGUCAUCUCAUCUUAUCCGUCUACACCUCUUUCUCUCUGUGAAUGCUCUUUCUUUUUCUUACUAAAAAAACAUUGUGUGCUCAUGUAUUCAAGUUACUAGUUUUGAGCCUCCAUAUAGUGUAGUGGUCGAAUAAACAGCAAGGUCAAAAUCAUUAGGAUGCAAGUUUUACAAGCAUACAUAGUGAAUGUUGUUUUUGCAAUAAAAAUGCAAGCACAAUUUGGGAAUGAAUCUCUUUCCUUUAUUCCAACAAGGAAAAGCAAUCUACUCCACCGGACUAAUAGAGGUCCGAGUCUCAUCUUUCUCAUUCCAAUUAAUAUGUGUGCUUGGGAGUCUUUAUAAUUUUUACAAACCAAAAACUUACCAUGAUUUUUUUUGUCUAUUUUUUCCUUUAUUAGGAAAAAUAUUUAUCCACAUGAACAAGCUUCUUUUUUCCAAAGGAGAAGGAAGAGUAAGUCUUGUUAAUUUGGGCUGUCCAUGACAGGCAUAAUUAUAAGUUCACUCUUGACACACAGUUCCCACCUCUUUCUGUCAUGCAUGCUCAUGUCAAAUGUCUCGGUCUCCCCACCCAACACUUCUUUUCUAUUGUAGAUGCCCCACUUUCUCACGUUUCCAACUUCCUACCUAUCUCUUCGUUUAGUCCAUGUAGCAUCUCCAACAUUCAUCCAACUAUAUUUCAAUUGCACAAGCACAUACAUAUAUAGCUUUCUCUCACUUUCUAUUAUACCUAUCUCCUACAAUUUAUAUAGCCGCUAUUUCUAUCUUAGCCUUCCCUUUUACACUUCCCGCUCCCACCCCCUUAUCUUUAUCUCAUUUCCCUCUUCAGAUAAACCAAAUUCCAUCAUAACUAACAAAGAAAGAUUUAAUCUGUCUCUAUCCCAACCCUCCCUCUUUCUUCUCUAGCUUUCUUUUAUUCAGGUUUUUGCUUUUCCAAAUAGUGCACUAUAUUCAAAUUUCUUAAAUAUUACACUAAUUAGCAAUUACAGAAUUGAUACCCGUAAUUGAAAAGAAAUGGAAAACCAAUAAAAACAAUAGGGGUUUAACAUUAUUUUGUUGAUAUUAUUUAUAUAGACACCUUUUGAUAGACCUCCUUUUGUCUCAUUUUUGUUAUAAAAAAGUGUACAUAUUUAAAUUUCUCAUGUUCCUUAUAAAGAUAAUGCUAUUUCCCAAACAGAUGCAUCGAAAAUUCCAUGCAGAGAUCAGAUCUAGCUUCUACUUUCUUUAGGAAGUCAUCCCAUUAGCUCAUGCCUUAAGGCAUUUGCAGAUAAAAGUGAUGCUUGCACCAAUGUCACACGUAAGUGGAUAUGUUAUUAUGAGAACCAAGGGGAUCGCAUAUGUGGAAACUCCAUAGGUAAUUUGUACAUGCACAUCCACAUUGUCCCCCAUAUGGUAGUAUCUAGGUAAUUAGCACUGUAAUUGGCCCCAGUGCUUUAGGAAACUCAAUUAUGUCAAAGGCAUAACACGGUGAUUGCAUUAGUUUCAAAUCUCUGAAGAUCUUGGUGACCUCAGCCUCUCAAACAGGACACCAAUCUCCACAAGAUUCACAAACAGAAAAGUAGAGAAGUACUUAAUCUAUCCAACAUUUGAGUAUUUACUGAUGGUUCCAUAGCUCAACCUUAUGAGACAGAUGCAGAACAUCUCCUACAUCCAUGCACCUAUAUUUCUAUUUCAUAGCUUAAAAUGCUGCCGUCCAAAUUUCCUCACAUAAUAGAUUGAAUUUAUCUAACUGUCAUACCAAGGCAUCCUAGACCUAUUCUUAAUCCCAUCAAAUUACUAACAGAUGCUAUAGAGCCUCAAUUAUCAUCUUUCCUGCGAAAAGAUAUCAGGUCUUUAACUAAAACACUUCUAAUGAAUCGAAAUUAACCAGCCCUGCUCCAGUAUCGUCAAAUAAAAACCUCAAAAAAAUCCAAAUUCGAAACAAAUGAAACAGAAAGAUGGCUUCGAAAAUGGAACGGAGAGAGAAAACUGGCAGAAGAUGAAUCCGAUACCCAGGGUCGCGACUGCAAAUGUCGCAGAUCUCCAUGUUCAUCGCCCAAUCCGGACCGAUCAGCAUGGUGCUCGUCGCCCGAUUCGCCAACGAGCCCGUCAUUGCUGCACCCCAAUCGAUCCAACAGGGAGAACAGAACAACCAAGAAAGUGGGAGGCGAGAUCCCGGCUAGCCUCGCCCGGAACCUGUUCCCCCGCCGAUCGAAGAGAGGCGGGCACAAACCCUUGGUGGGGGAGAGAGAAAAACCCUAACCGAUUCCCGAGAUCUCUCCUUUCCCGUCGCCGGCGAGGCCCUGGUUUUCUUACGGAUAUUUUAUUUAAGAUGGAGAAGAAAAGGAAAUGGCUCUCGCUGCGGCUGUAUCUUCGCUAGGCUCUCUCCGCCGAUGCGCUGUCUUCUUGUUGGUGAUUUGAUCUAUUAACGACUCGUUUGGAGAAAUGGGAAUAAGUCCAUGUUUCGUUGUAUUUAACGGGUGGGUGGUCCUGGCGUGGCGGCAGCCUCUGCCUCGAUCGCAACGUUAGGAAAGUUUGGAUGAGGGAAUUUAUAAAAUAAAAUUUUUUAUGAUAUAUAUAUAUAGAAAGUGAGAGAGAUUAUUGCAGUUGAUAAAAAUGACAUGAGCUUCCAAAAAAUAAGCAAUAACCAAAUAUAAAAAAUAAUAAAAAAAAAUGUUGGAUUUAUGCUGAUAAUAACAUCACUAAAAUCGCACAUAAGUAUCAUUAGUAUAGUACAUUAGGUUCGCAUGAUUACUGAAAGUAUAGAAAUAUGGAGGCCUAAUGUUUUACCAAUACUUCUCUUCAUAAUUUUGACUAUACCGUAUUAGAUUAGGUCUUAGCACAUACAAUGAAUAUUUGGCAUAAAUAAAAGAUGGUUAAAAUAUUAGUUUUGAGAGGCAUGUAGUUUCAAGAUCCAUUAGAAUUUGAUCAUUAAUUUAGAAAGAAGAAAAAAAGGAAAGGAAAAAUGGUAGUUGGAGGUUAGAAUUUUGUAAGGUACAAACCAAAUAGGGGGGAGGUAAGAUGGAGUGGCAUUCUUAGAAGAUCUUAGGAGAUCAAAGGUCCCUAGAAAAUAUAGAGAAAUGGUUUGGAAUUUUUCCCGUGCUAAUAAAUCUACUACUGAGUUUGCAUUGUUUGUAGGCAUGACCGGCAAUAAAACUUAAAAAAUGCCAAGUUUAACUUGCAAAUCUAAAGGCAAAAUGUAUAGGUAUUAAGGCUUCUUUUUCUUUUUCUCUAGAUUGUAACCAAGAGAUUAUAAACAAAGGAAUCUCCUUCCAGCCAAAUAUUCAUAUCUUUAAAAAUUGAUGGUUAUCAUUCACAUUCCUUCCCAAGAUCUAUGGAGCUCGUCCAUAAAUGUUAUAUAUUGGACUAUAAAACAAUAAUAUAGUAUCAAAAAAAUAUAUUUGAGUACUAAUGGGAAUCUCUAUGACUUGUGUGAAGCUGGUAAUGCAAGAAUUUAUAAGUAAUCUAAGUUUUUUAACCAGUGGCUUACAAAAUGUUUAUCUUCUAAAAACUUUUAUUAUCCAUUUCACUAGAUAACACAACUCCCAUGAUACCUUCUAGUGAGGUUUGUCCAGUGGUUCGUAUUUCUCGUACUUUCUUCGAGUUUUUCAGACCAUUUAUAUACUAAACAUCACACUCUCGUGAGGCACAUCUCAUUAUUUGAGACUCUCUCUCAUAUCUUGCACGUAUCAUGCUCUAGCUUAUAUUGAUGGGAUAAUUAAACUUUAAGAUGUAAAUCAUACUUUGAUUCGCUAAAUCCAUUUGAAAUUUUGAGAUUUAUGAAGCAGCUUGAUCUGCAACCGCGAUCAAAAAUGACUCUGAUCUAAACAGAGAUUAGCAGAGAGGUCUUCUGAAGAGAGCCCUUAAUGCAUGUUUUGGAGAAGGAGUCUAACAGGCUAUUUAUAGCUCUCUCCACGGACCAAACGCCGCAGGUGGUUACAUCCGUCAAGAGUCACCCCCAUCAAGGUAACCCUUCGCUACUGCAAAAUUACCUUAAUGCCCUUAAGAUCAUCAGAAUUUACGAAAUUCAAGGGACACUUGUCAAAUGUAGGUUCUAAUUAAACGGGAUCAGAGUUUAAUUAAACAAGAUCCAAUAUAUAUAAGGUAGAGUCCUUGGCUCUUGUAGAUUUAAUAUGGAUCUUCCAAAUUCAAGGUCUUGUAUGUAAAUUAAGAUCUAAUAAAAGUAUACGAGAAUUUAUAUUUUCUUCAACAUAUCAACUUGCAGACCCGUAAGCAAAUUCUUUUUUAAUUAGGGGCUCAAAAAAAAUUUCUCAAUAUGUUUAGAAAAUAAAGUAAGGCGGCAACAUUUAUCGUCCUCACUUGUUGCUUGCAAACAAACUAUAGUUUAUACCUCUGGUGAUCAAAUAUUAGGGUUUAAACUUUAAAAUUCUCUUAGGAUAGAUUCUGAUACAUCUCCAAAUUAGCCACAACUCACCAUAAAGACCAGCUAAUCAAAGCACACCAUGACUCUAACACGUGGCAGAUCAAAAACCAGUCAUUUUUGACCGACUUAUAUACUCACAUCUUCUGGUGGCAAGUAAACUUCUCCACCCAACAUACACAAAAGAGGAGAGAUAAAUAAUAGAGAACAUUUUUACUAUAUGAGAGAUUGCCUUCUUCUUCUGUUUUAUGAGAACUAUACUGAUUUGGGCAUUAAAGAGUCUUCGAAUAUAUUUGGGUCAAUUUUUUUUUUUUUGGCUCUGUACUAUUUUAGGUCGUGAUAUUGCCAUCUGAUGAAGAUCCCAGCCGCGAUAAUCAAGCACCGCCCAUUUUUAUUUUCCGGCAUCAUUAUAUCUAUGGCGGUUUAAGAUCAGUUAAUUUUUCAGCGGCCACAGAUUCUAUUAUUUUUUACUUUAGCGGGACACGAGAAAGUUUGUUUGGUGCAAGCAAGUGACAACCGAACGUAAAACCCGAAUUGUAACAAAAAAAAAAAAACGUCCAACCCGAAUAUUUUUCUUCCCUCUCUCCCACGCGCUAAAACCCUCCAAUUAGGGUCAGAAGUCGACCCCAGAAUCCUGCUAGCUCCAUGAAUCUCCCCGCAGAAGCCUUGCUUAGGGUUCUUUCUCUCUGAAUCCAGAAACCCUAAUCCCCAGAUUGGGUUUGGUUUUGCUCCCUCUUCUUAUGGCGAUCAUCGGCGACGCGCUUCGCCAGGCGUUCAUGCCGAAGCACGAGUACGAGAGCCUCCGGGAAGAGGAGAAGGCCUGGGGCCGCCUCCAGAGGCCCCUGGCUGCGGCCCUCGCGGUGGCGCUGGGCCUUGCUGUCGUCAUCGCUGUCUCCGUGAGCACGAGCAUCGUCUUCCCCGGGGAUGCCAGCCAGCGGCCGUUCUGCCGGGACCGCAGGAUCCAGGCACUGCCGAUGAACGCCACCCAGGAGCCUGAUAUGUACGGAUACCAUGGCGCAUUCUAUUUGACGGACGAGGAGGCGGCGGACUAUUAUUGGAUGGUUGUCUUCAUCCCAUCGGCGAUCGUCUUCUUGGCUUCGGUCAUCUACCUCCUGGCCGGUGAGCCAGCUUCUUUGGGUUACUUUCCUUUUUCUUGUUUCAUUCUCUUAUCAACUUUGUGAAAUUUCUAGAACAUUGAUUGAAUCCCGAGCGAUUUCUUGGCAUGUCAGAGGUGUUACUUUACAUAAUGCAAAAAUUGUGGAGCGGUUUAUUGUUGAGAUUUAUUGGCAAUACUGACAAGAACAUGCAUAUGGACAUCAUUGAUUGGGUUCAGGGUGGUAGUUCUGUUAAGAAGUUUAUAUUUACUGCCUGCUUGGAUGCCUGAAUAUGUUGUCCCUGUAUAAAUUAUUCCAACAACUGAAAAUUGAGAGAGAGAGAGAGAGAGGAAACAAUGAGAGAGAAGGAAUCAAUGCAACCAAGAAGCUCUGAAAUUACACGACCUCACACACCCCCAUUCCUCUUCAAGGUGAUUGAUGGUAUUCCAGCUUUAGGACUGGAAGACUGGAGAUUUCCUUGAAUGAAUUAAAAUUUUCUCUCUCACAGAUAAUCUGUUCUGACUAUCCACCAUACAUAGGUAACUCUAAGGAGUAAGGAUUAUUUAUGCGGACAUCCAAAUAACCCCUUAGUGGGCGUAAUGAAAGCAAAACAGAGCUGUGUGAAGCUAAAAGAUUUGUUUCAUUUGUGAUGAUACUUGUAAAUUGAAUUUAAGUCUACUAGAAAGUUACGUAAAAUGUAAAGAUUCGGAUAAAUUCUGAUACUUGUUUUACAUAAGCCUCAGAGAAUCAACAUAUUAUAUUUAACUGUUGAAGUAAAUCUUAAUAGAUCUCAUAGCCUAUCUCUGGAAAUUGAUCUGAUUCAAUGUACUUCCAAGCACUAGCUAGAAUCCAACUCAUACUCUCAUGUUCAAAUAACAUUAUAUAUCGAUGUUCAAGAUAAGAAAUGUAAUGGGGUUAGUGGGUUGGCUAUGAUGAGAGAGAUAUGAAACAACAUGAGGUGGUGGGUCAGAUAUCUUAACGAGGAUUUUACUAAUGAUGUUGUUGAAGCUUGAAGCUCCAUCACAUUUUUGUGGUAUAGGGAAAGCUUGGAGCGAGGAUGUUAAUGUCAGCGUGGUUAGUCAUAGUGUCAUCAUGGGAAAUGUCUAGCAGAAGCAAUUGUCAUAUGCUGAUUGUGUUUAGUCUUGCCAAAGCAAGGAACAACUGAAGUCAAUAAUUUAAUAUUUUAAUCAUCGAUGUCUGCAACCAACAUCUUAUGGUAGUCUCUAAACUAAUAGAAAGCUUUCGAACAAGACACUCGUUGAUACUAGCUCAUUGCUUAGCAAUGAGAUGGUGUGAAUAUACAAUAGUAUAAAGAUGGUGAAAAUGAUUGAUCGACAUAUUGUGAAGAGGUGGAGUUCCCAUUCCACUAAAGCAAACCAUUUUACAAUCUGACUUUGGAGAAUAUAUUCGACUUAUUAAACUAUUGGACUUAUGAAAUAUUAUCCAGGGAAGUACACUUGUGGUAAAUUUUUCUUAGCUCAUAUAUAUUAACCUUCUACAAUCUGGAAAUGCUUAAACAGUUUAACAAUACCAUACAUUUGUAAAUGCAUCUAAGAAAGGGAUGCUGGAUUGUUGUUGGAAAAUUGACUUAGGCCUUUUUUAGUUGGUGGUCGGAGUAAUUUGCUGAUAAAAUCUAUGCCUGGUGGGAUUCUCUCUAGAAGUAUGAAAGAAGGAAGAAGAUUUCAGCUAUCAAUCUCCCAAUCCCUGCCUUUUUUGUAUAAUCUAAAUCACUUAUGAGAUAAAAUAUCUUACAGCAAAAAAAUUGGGAGCGAGAUGAAAUGGCUGGCUAGCAUAUCAUAAUCAAAACUCUUUCUCUUUUCACUUCUCUCCAAGAAAACCCUCAAGGGUGAGGAUUUAUCCAAGAAUAAUCUCCUCCCAUAUUCAAAUGGGGCCGUUAGAAAAAAGUAUAUGGGGAACUUGGAAUGCCAUAUGGUCAUCAUGUAUUUAAGGGUUAUGUCAUGGCCACUUAUUUUCUAGGCUUGUUAAUUGUUACUUAUAAGGAAAGUCUUUGGCUUAAAAUUGACAUAUAGGGAAUGUAAUGCAGUUGGGCUAUAGUAGCAUGUUGGUGAUUUGUAUUUAGUGAAUUUUUCCUUGGAAAGAUGCCCACAUUCUAUGGAGUGUGGGAGUUCAUUUUAAGCCCACAUUCAAGUCUUUGCUUGUGAAGUAAAACAUUUUAAGAUUCAGUUAUGACUAUUUUUGGUGGGUUUGUAUCCUAGUAAAUGGUCUGUGUUCCAAGACCAGUCAGGAGCCAUAGGGGCGGGUCCAAGGGAGAGCCAUGCCACCCCUCCCACUAGCUAUCAAGAUUCCUAUUUAUGCUUAUUGCUCCAGGCUUCGAGCUCUCAUGUCCCUCCUUCUGUACCGCAAGUUAAAAAAAUGCCAAACGAAGCCUUCUAGAUUGGGCAAAUCCUUCUAGUUUCUCUAUUGAUCCCUUACAAGUAGCUCAUCUCCAUUUAUUCCUCCAUUAUGUUCUAAUCAAGAUCAUUGUUUCCUUUUAUAAAGACAAACAUCCAUCCAAAUGGGGAGGCUCUUGAAUUGUAUAAUGUGAUCUUAGUAACUGCUUAGCCUUUUCUACAAAAAAAUACCUCUUAUCUUGUUGCCCGUGCAGACAAGAAUAGUUUGUUAUUUGAUGGUUUGACCCCAUUGGUUUUCUCAUUCCCUCCGAAAACCUAUUUCACAAUCAUGGUCCCCAUUGGCAUUUUUGUUCCCAUGAGCUCACCUUCACCAAAUUCUACUCUUUUAAUGAGACAUCAAAUUUUUGAAGGUGAGUGUUCUCUGCAUUAAUGUAACACUAGAAUGCGACAUAUGCGAUUCAUGUAGGUGAACAAAAAGAGCAUUUAAUGAAUGGCCAUGAUUAGAUGAUAGAAGGAUAAGAUGAAUAUGUGGAAACAAAAUGUAAAAGCUUUUGGCGAGGGCCAUGAUUAGUGAGGCACAUGAUAGAUGGGUGUAUUAAUUUUACCUGAAAAGGUAGGAAAGUUAAGAUUGAUGAGGGAAAGAGGGAGAACAAUGCUCAUUAGAACCUAGGCUAUUGGAAUUACAUAAUAAUAAAAUACUUUGUGCGAGUCUUUGAAGGCCAAAUGCGUGCUAGACUCUGGGACUUUUGCAUUAUAUAUAGUAGAGAUUUUCAUUUAAAAAAUCACAAAAUAACUAGAUCUUGCUCUGUGUCUACAUGAUCUUAUUUGUGUUGUUUUAGUCUUAGAACAAAUUCUUUAUAAGAAGCUAUUUGUGCCACAAUGUUCAAACCCUUCUGGCUAAUAAGUGGUGGCUCUAGGUUCAAGCCUAGGGUGGUGCAACCCAAAGUAUUUGGACCUAGGUCAUUGUAAUAUGGGCUGGUCUCCCUUCCCUUGUUCUAUAAAAAAGUUCAGAAAAAUCAAUAACCACAGCCAUAACCACAACCAUAACCAUCAACCCUCAUCCCACCUCUAUUUAGGGCCACAUCUUAUGUAAUAUUGAGCUUUGUAUAAGAAUCAAUAAGUAGCAAAUUUUAUUUGCCUAAUUAGAGCUAGGUACUGUAUUUAAUUUGAAAUAGAAGAUAUUACAUCAAAUUGCGAAGAUGGAAGAGCUUCAAUGGAGAAAAUGCAUGAGCUGUGUUGCAAAUCUAACUAUCCUAGCCAAUUAGCUCGACCCAAAUCCCAUUCAUAUUAUGCAUUUCAACUUUUGUUUUAAGUAUCAAUUUCAAGCUUUAACCUGAAAUAUCACAUGUAGGUGGUGUGAGUUUUGUAGCAAUAGUGGUGCAACUGGUUAUUAGGAUUUGAUAUGGCAAAGCUUCUUCCAUUACAAUACUCUUCACUUUGUCUGAUUUAUAGACAUAUGAUUUUGAUCUAAUGAAUAAUUUGAACCUAAACUAGACUUGUAUAUCUCAUAAAAAAUUAAUUUAGAUAUAAAUUCAUAUUUGACCCUACCAAAUAAUUAACCCUAACUUCUCUCUUAAAGAAGCAAAGGAUUUUUGACUGUUUUGUGUUUGUAAUGCUAAAGUAUGCAAUUUUGGUAGAGCUGUGGAUGGGUUUAGCAUGCCUGCAUAUCCUUUAGAUAUAUUGUUAGUCACUAAUGCUUGUUUUCUUCAUUAACAAAUUUUGGUAUCUUUAAAACACCGUAUACUUUAUUUUCGUUUAACUUUAUUAUGAUUUGAUUGUUGAAGGAAGAUCUUUUGUCACAGAAACUGAACAUAUGAAAUAAUUUAAUGCAAAAUAAAAAUGAAUAUGAGGCCCUAAUUAAGAUUGAUAGACAAGAUUCCACAAAGCAAUCAGUUUCAUUGCUUAAUAUUUAUUAUACAAAAUAAUGAACACACACACACCCAUAAAUACUACUAUGUAAUGGCGAAGGCCUACAGUCUAAUAUUUGAGGCUAGCCUCUAUGUCUCAUGCAGUAUAAACAUUGUGUUCACUCAUAUUUUUCAUAUAUAUAUAUAUAUAUAAUAUGUAUGGAUGUAUAAAUAUGUAUUACAUAUAUGCCCGUUUGUGGUUCACAUGCCAUGAAAGGGAGAAAAAAACAGUGUUUUCGAGAUCGUAGCAUCUAUUUCCUCUUUUGGAAAACCUGGACUCUCAAAUUUCAGUAAGGAAACUAAUUUGAAAAAAACAAAAACAAAAAAUGUAUAUCUCAAAAAAAUUAAGGCUGUAGAUCCAAAAUAGUUGCAUCUGAAAACAAAAAUUACGUAUCUCAAAAAAUUGGUGAUCCCGGAUCCCAAUACAUUUGCAAUCUAAACUAUUAACUGGAUAGAAGAUCACAUUCAUCCCUUCUAUCUCAUGCGCGGCUCACGUGCCAAAAUCUAAUGUGUGCACAUGCAUGAAUGUUAAUCGGCCUGCAUGUGCAUAGCUGCUUUUGAGGUAUUAUGUAAUCAAAGUUAUCUUGCAAUAUAAGAGGAAAAUUUAUAGAAUGAUAAUAAGGCCUAGAAUAUUUUAUAGCUCAGAAUGUCGGGCAAUAGAAAAGGUCUGGGAAAACCAGUUGGAUAAAGCAUUUAAACAAAAACAUUGAGACGGAAAUGCUGUAAAACUAGAAAAAAUUAGAGUGAGGAAUGUAUAUAUUGAGGAGCUAUCUGAGUUUAUGUUAUAUGGACUGAGCAUGAGUGUGGAGUGUGGGCAUGUAUCCGAGUUUCAUAUCCUUUAAUCUCUAAGAGGUUCUUCUAAUUGACACAUGUUCAAUUUUCACACCAAUUCACAUUUCCAAGUUCUGGGUGUGGGAAAUCUGGGUUGAAAUGUCCAAGUAACAUAGGUAGGAGCUGUUCCAUUUAAAACUGAAGUGAUUGGGAACCAAUUAAUAUGGUAUACUCACAUACGAUGAAGAUUUGAAGGGGGCUCCAAUAAGGAGGGUUGCUUCCACCUUUGUUAAAUGAAUUAAGAAGGGACGGGGAGACAUAAGAUGACAUGAAUGGAAGUUGUGGUUUGUGAAAAGAAUAUAAAAGGCUCAAGUCAGAGGUAGCCUAAAAAGAAACGUUAGGUGAAUGAGGAUCUAUAAAGUUAAGCCCAAAUAGCUGGGACAAUGUUUGAGGGCUGUAUUAAUGGUUGAAUUGAGCUAAGAUGAUUAAUCAAACAAUUCUUAUUGUAAAAUAACCCAUGCCAUUAAUUGCUGAGAAUAAUAAAGUCCUGUACUGUGAAGUUUAUAUCAAGAUGUGGCUCUAAAAAAAAUUGGUAUAUCUAGAUUUUACUUGUCAUGCGCCACUCUUUCAUCUAGAUUUUUCUAUUUAUAUAUUAAAAAACAGGUUACAAUUGGUUCUGUGACUUUUUCCUUUGGAGUUUCUGAAUGUGUUCUUUUUCUGUGGUGGCUGUUGCUUAUCUGUUUUAUGUGGCACUGUCUCAUUUUAUUACUUUAUGUUGUUUAUAACGAAAGACAAGAAAUAAAUACCAUUUAAUUGUGGUUUUAUCUUUGUUGUUCUGAAUUUGUUAUUGAUUUCAUGGUUAAUUAUGCUGCAGGAAUAGCUGUUGCUUAUUCUGCUCCAAGAAGACACAUAUGCCUCAAGGUAGUUGAAAAUAACUAUUGUGCAUCGAAGAGAGGUAUGGUGAUGUUGCUCUCAUAGUAAUGCAGAUGUCUUGAUAUUAUUUUUUUCCUUGUUUGAUAGAUGAUGGAUGUAGCUUAAAGUAUGUCUGCAGUUCGUAUUUAUGUUGUGUAGUUUUAUUCUCUGGGUUUGAAUAUUUCCCCCCGCUGUUUCCUUUCCUGUAAACAGCAAAGUGGGAUUGCAAAAGAGUUAAUCUUAUGAUCUUUCAACUCUUGUGGUGUUAUUAUGUUCUUGAAGGUUGCAAGUGGUUUCUAGUCUGUCCUGUUGGCGAUAAAGAUAAGGUAGUCAUGAUGCUUGUUUUGCCUAUUUUUUUGGAACUCCAAUUUCUAUGUUCACAUUAUUCAUUAUGUUCACAUUAUUCAUUUACUUUUUCCUAAUCCAGUCGUACUCGGAUCAGGCUUGGUAUAACAUUUGAGACAGAUUGUUCAAUUCUAACCAUUUUGAUCAACUCUGAUCAACUCUUUUUCCACUAGGAGGUGAGGACACGGUGCUGAGUUGCAUUGCUAAAUGAAUUAUCAAAAUGUAUUUUGUUUUGGGAUGCAUCUCAUGCAAAAAUCUUACUUCUGUGGUUGGGCCCAAUUAAAAAGUUUGUCAAAAAUCCAAUCCUGUGGUGUUGCAUCUGAAUUGUGAUUGGAAUUUAUCUCAUGCUGCUAAAAUCUUACUUCUAUGGUUGGGCCCAAUAAAAAAAUUUGCCAAAAAUCCAAUCCUGUUGCAUUGCAUGUGAAUUGUGAUCCAAAUACCUGUGUGGAGUGAUGCAAAGUAAAUUAGCAACAUGUUUGCUCCCCCACAAUGAAAUUGAUUUCUUUUGUACCUGUAGUCAAAACAUAACCAUUUUCUAAAUUGUAACAUAAUCUUGUAGGUGGGGUACGUUGUCUAUCGAUACUCAAUGUUGUGUUUGCCGUGAUCUUUGGUCUUCUUGCACUAUUUCUUGGAUCAAGCCUCCUCACAUUAGGGAGUAGUUGCUCUGUCCCGCUCUUCUGGUGUUAUGAGAUUGCCUCUUGGGGUCUGGUAAUCUUGUAUGGUGGUACUGCCUUCUUUCUGAGAAGAAAAGCAGCAGUGAUCCUUGAUGAGGGUGAGUAUGCGGGGCGAAACCUUGGAUUGGAGAUGUUGGAAUCAGCCAGAGAAGUGACACCAGAAAUGGAGAGGCGUGUGAAUGAAGGUUUUAAGGCAUGGAUGGGAUCUUCCCUCCUUUCUUCUGAUGAAGAAGAAGAGCCUGAUUUUUUUCUAGAGGCGGCUGAACCAAUUCUGACCGACUCUAACCUGCAAAGAGGGUGAAGUUUGUCAUUUGGAAUUCUGUAAAUUGUUCCUUGUCGGCUUUAUUUUUUAAUUCUUUUUCCAAAAUUUCCAGUUGGUUUAGAUUGUAAUUAUGCAAAAUCACCAUCGUUUCUGCUGUAAUAUACUGAGUGGUGAAUUUAGAUACACAUCCAUACAAAAGAAUUUGGAAUUCAUAUGACCCUUCAGAUUGAGCCUCCAUUUGUUUGAGAUGCGCAGCUGUUUUGAGUAUGAGCUGUCAGUGGGAAGGAAUAAAAUCCGUGAGUAACGACUGUUCUAUGUGAUUCAAGCUUGAAGUUGCAUAAUGCUUGUACUAAGCCAUGUUCAUUAGUGCAAUGGCGUGGCAACUAUAGAACUUUGGCAACUAUUUCUUAUUUGUUGUUACUGCAAGAUCCUCACUUCUUUCAUGAUUUAACUUGCAGUGUGAUUGCUAAUAUGAUUUUGUUUUUGAACGUGCCACUCAUGACAUUAUGUUGAUAGGUGAGGCAUGUGGUUUGGGACAAUCUGAUGUUACGAUUUUUGGAUGCAAUCCAUACAAUUAAUUUGCUGUCCAGAUUGCGUUACAUAUAAACUCGUGGGUCCAACACAAAUUGGAAUAACAAGAACUCAGGCUGCGUUCUGGCUAGCGCAGAGCUCGCAGCAGUACUAAUGCAGCAUACGAUUUCUUUUUCUUUGUAGCAAAUGAUUGUGAUAUUUCUAUACUUAAAGCUGGAGACUGACAUGAAAUGGGGUUAUUCCAUGUCCCCAUGCUCGAGCAGUCAAAAGCAAAAAAAAAAAAAAAAGAACCCACAUUGAAACUAGCAGUUCUCCUGACGUCCUUCACGGUUUAAUCCAAACAAUUCCCCUCUCCUUCUCCACUUUGUUAGUUGGGGAUCGUACUACGUCAACACGAAGUAACAGCCGUGGGAAAUGGAAAAGGUAAAAGGCCGAGCGAACAUGGCUACUGUAGCACGAUGCUCCUUGUUCCAUUCCUUCAAUGAGAGAACGAGUUCACGGGCCUUGAGAACAUCUCGUCAUGUUCUGCGCCUCUGUAUCCUUCUAACUUUGUACCAUUCAAACUCACUCUCCUAUCAGGCUUUCAGACACAACCACCAUUACUUGCUUUCUCUUCUUGCACCAUAAUGAGGCAGGAGGAGGGGGAGGAGGGACAAAAUCUCUCAGGAGAGAUAGAGAUGGAGAAGGGGAAGGAGAAGCAGGAGGCAGCCCCUGUCUCUGCAAUGCCGCUCCCAAAGUCCCCGUCCUUCUUAAACCCAGAAGAACCGGGAACAGAGGCUGAUCGCUUCCAGCAAGCUCUACUGGUUGAUGACCUCUGAUUCUCCCUCCUUUCUCUCUUAUAUUUCCAUUUUUCCUAAAAAAAAAAUUAUGAAUGCAUGAUGACUUGAGCUCACAAUGAAGUAGUUACUCGAUACCAAGUGCAGGAACUGAAGGACCUGCGCUCUCAACUCCACCAGGCAGCAGAUUACUGCGAGAAUACGUUUCUAAAGACCGGGCAUGGAACAAUGUAAGCUCAUCUACUUCAGAACAAUACGUUCUGUUAUUUUCUUUCCAGGAAAUUCGAUCUUUUUUUUUUCUUUUCUUGAUAGAGGUGAUUAAUGUUGACUCUGAUAUGCUUCUCUACUAUCUUGGUUGAUGCCAUUAAUUUAUUCCAACGCACAAUGGCAUAAUAACAUCCGGAACGUGAUAUUCUCUUGUUUGUUAACAUGGGAAGAGAGUUGGAGAACGCAAAGAGCUACAUUUGUCAUGCAAUCGUAGCUGUGGUCGAUCAUCUGGGCAAUGUUUCCUCCAAGCUUGAGCACCAACUCCAGGGCAAUAUCGAGGUUUUGCAAACAGAGCAAAAGAUUGAUUGCUUAAAACAGGUUAGUUAAUAGUCAUCUGCUCAAAUUCAUCAGCAGCCAAACUUUGGUGCAUCCAUACAUAGAUAGUAGCCAGGAUAAAAUGGAUAAAGAUUUAGAUGCGUUGGACCCAGGCCCAAUGAAUCGAUAAUGAAGCAUUUAAUGCAGUCAUUUCUCAUCCCUGGGUUGGAACUCUGACAUAGUCUGUGAAGGCCCGAUCUAAAUAGAGAAUCGGAUUUUUCCACGGACUCCCAAUGGGAGUCGGAUUUUUCGACACUCCCGAUGGGUUCUGAAGUCGAGGGGAACCCUCUAUUUAAAGCCUUCUCUCCUCUUGAAGCGUCCAUCGUUGCCGGCUACAAGCCUUUCUUCUUCUUGGUUUCCCAGAGGUUCCCUCACCUGUGCCCGUCGGAAUUCCGGCUCGUUGCCACUGGCUGAGAGAUUUGAUCCUAUUUUCCACCCCUAUUACCGGCCUUGCUUUCCUUAUCAUUUUCGGCUGCCACCCUUGCUGGCAUUCGCCGCUGAAACUUUUGGUCUCUCCUCGUCGACCCAUGACCAGACAACGGAGCCCCAGCCGCCGACGAGCGGGAUGGGACCCGAAAUCGACCGAGCCAAAGGAUCCUCUGUUCGGCUCUAGUAUUGGACCGAUCCUUGUGCCUCUUUUUGCCCGGUCGCUGCUGCUGUCGGCUGUUCUGAUGCCAACUGUUGUCAGACCAUGGGCUGCACUGUUGUCUGUUAUGCCGCCGCAUAUCGCAGGACCACCAUUUUUUGUCUAAAUUUUUAAUACUAUUAAAAUUAUUGAAUAUUAGUUACUUGGACUUUGAAUGAUUUGAAUAAGUUUAACUGGUUCAUGCAGUUGAAUUUUGAGGAUUAAUGUGAAAGAGGUAAAUAGUCCUUACAUUCUUUAGUAGUUUUUGAACAACCAUUGUCUAGUCAUGGGUCGACGAGGAGUGAUAAGGAUUUCGGCGACAAAUGGCAAUAAUGAUGAUAGCCAAAAAAAAGAGAAGGAAAGCUGGUCGAUAAUAGGGGUGGAAAUAGGGGAGCAAAUAGGGAGUUUUCUUGGUCAAUUUUUGGCAAAUCUUUCAGCGGGUGGUAGUGAUUCAAGCCUAAAGAAGGUAGAGAAAGUAAAGAGAAGAGAGAUCGGGGUUUUACCUUGGCUUCAACGAGCUUGGUGAUCGGGAUUCCAACGAGCUCAAGUGAGGGAACCUCUAAGAAAACAAGAAGAAGGGCUUGUAGCUGGCGGCAAUGGACCCUUCAAGGGAAGGGAAGGUUUUUCUUUCGACUUCUUCAGGACUGGAUGAUCGACUGCCGCCGAGAAUUGUUGAAAAAUACGACUCCCUUUGGGAGUUGCUACCCAAUACUAUCAUGCAUGGGAUAUGCCUAGCAUGACUGGGCCCAUCCAAUUCUAGGUCGGAUCUGUUGGAUCGAGUCUUCACAUUCUCCUCUUCUUAAAAGAGUUUCAUUCUUGAAACUUAACUUAAGGCUUUCUAUGAGGAUCCGUGCAGGCGUAUGUCUAGUCCCACGUUGGUUAUUUGCCGGAGAGAUCUUGGGUAUUUAUAUAGGACUAAGAAACCUAAAAAAAUAUCUUUCUACUAGCUAUUCUAAAUGAGGUCCUGGGUUGUGAUAUAAUAGUAUCGGAGCGGAUCCGAUCUAUGGCUCAUGUGGACUAGGAGACACUGUAGCAUAGGCUUAUUGAGGCUCACCACAAGUCGAUCAUAGUGCUUGUGAUUAGAUUUGAAUGAAUUUGAACCCUUAGCCCGACAAGAAUGUUGGGGCUUAAACGGAAGGAGUAUGUGAGGAUCCCUGCGGGCGUGUUUAGUCCCACAUCGGUUAUUCACCGGAGAGAUCUUGGGUAUUUAUACAGGACUAAGAAACCCAAAAAAUACUAUCUGGUUAGUCUUUUUGUGUGAGAUCUUGGGUCGUGACACUUUCAAACUUUGAGGUUCCUUGUCUCUGUAUAAGUAUCCAAUAUCUACCCAAUCCAUAACCUUUGUGGGACUAAAUACAUCCGCAUGAAUCUUCAUAUACUCCUCUCGUUUAAGUCCCAGCAUUGUCGCCGCGCUAAGGGUCUAAAUCCAUGCAACUUCAUUCACAAGUAUCAUAAAUCCAAUCAUAGACACGGUGAUUGGCUCAUGGUCAGCCCCAAUGGACUUGUGCUAUAGUGCCCUUUGGUUCACACGGGCCAUGGGUCGGAUAUGCUCUAACACCAGUUUGUAACAACUUAGAACAUCAUCCAAAAAAACUAGUUGGAAGGUAUUAUUUGGGUUCUUUAGCCCUAUAUAAGUAUCUAUGAUAUACCUAGUGCAUGGCCAAUGCAGGACUAAACACAUGUUCGCACAAGUCUGCAUAUAGUCCUUAGUGGUGCGAAGAACUUUAACAUAUUUGUUCUUUUAUUGGUCAUAAGGACACAAGAGAGAUAUUUUUCUUUUAAAAUCAUAUUCUUCAGUGCUGUCACCUCAGUAACAGUUCUUGCUCUCAGGUUUUUCAUCAACAAAAAGAACAUCNNNNNNNNNNGGCUUAUAUCCCAUCGAUCAUGCAGAAAAAAGCUCAAGUCAUAUGAGCUCAUCAAAAAAUCAGAUAUGAUCAUAGAUAUCAUCAUAUGAUAAUUUGGUUAGAACAUUAUCGCAUCUAGUUAGUUUAUCUAUAUCUCAUGGCAAUAGUAUUACUACAUCUGUAAUAUAGACGGCAUGAUGUACCUCCUAUUUUUCUUAGGUUGGCAAACGCUUCCAUCAUUCCAGAGUUGUCUCAUGUACAAAGUCAAGAAAACUCAUUGUAACUCGAAUUAAAUUAUGCAUCUCUUCUUUUAAAUAUAUGAAUUAUCUAAUGAGCAUCCUCUGCACAGAGGCUUCUCACAUGUCAACAAUAUGCUGUAAGUCUCAAGCUCUCUGCCGUGCGAUGGAGUGCCAAGUUGCCACGGCAUCACCAGCAUUAUCUCUCACCAUGUAAGCUAUCUUCUAUCCAUUCUUGAUGCCUUUUUUUAUAAUUAAAUUCUGAACAAUGCCAUCUCUACCAAGAAUUAUGAGUUCAGCAUAUUGAUCUUGUAGUUUUAGUUUGAAAACUCAUAUGAGACCAAUUAUUGUAACAGAAUCAUCACCUUUUAAUCUGCUGAAAUUGUGUUGCACGGUAAAGGAAAAAAAGAAAAAAGAAAAAAAUCUGUAAGAAUGUUUUAUUAUUUUCAUACAGUCCGGUACUAUAUUAAUGAUAAGCUGUGAAUUUGUUUUUUUCGAACUUCAUUAUACUUGUAUGUCACCAAAAUAUUUUUCUUUGAACAGUGGCUCAGCAUCCUGAAAAGUCGAGUGGUAUCUCCAGGUUUCCUUUACUUCUCAGUUCUCUGUGUGUUUUUCUUAAUUCCCCAAGUUCUAAAGCUCAAUUUACAUUCCAUAAGUGCUAUUAAUUUAAAAAAAAAGACAUGUCAAGAAUCUAACUGAAUACAUGCAUGCACAGAAAUGAGGCUGCUGAUAAAAAAGCAUCUGAAACACCUAGUAAGAAAGAUCAGUUGGCAGUGGCCAUUUGUCCUCCGGUCUCUGUUGCAGGUGAUAGUGUCAAGCUUCCAAAUUUGGGUUCAGGUAAGCAAACUAGUGAAUCUAGACAAAAUGACCUGUCAGUUUUCUUGUUGGAGUUCUAAAGAAGCCUGAGCCAUUUGCAGGACAAUAUGCAUAUUCCCAUAGUAUAGUUUAUUUUUGGAUUCAUGGUUCAAGUCUCACAUAGACUUUUACCUGCAUUCCAAGUGCACUUGAGCCAUAAACCAGAUUCACAUUUAUUUAUUUAUUUUUGAGCAAACCGGUGGAAAUCCACCACAGCAAUUCAGUACAUGUUUUUAUUUAUUUAUUUAUUUGUCUUUCACAUCAUGGUAGAAUGUAGUGAGUUUUCGUUUUCUUUUUUUCUUUUUUUUUUGACAGAGCUGUUCUGGCUCUUUAUAGUUCGAUAUUUGUUGUAGGAACACAUACCCAUUAAUUCAUAUUUAACUAGGAAAGGCAACUGGUCUAUUUUGGAGUGGAGUGGGUAUAUCGUACUAUACCAGUUCGGUAUCGAUACCCAGUACGGGUGGCGUAUCGAUAUUCAGUAUGCUAAAAAAAUUCUGCAUCGUACCAUACCAAUAUUUUGCUAGUGUGGCACCGGUAUGGGGUCCAAUACCAAGACAACAAACAUUGAUUUGAAGUAUUGACUCUUUUUGCUUUCCAGGAAUAACAUCCAGCACAGCUAUCCCAGUUCUUGAAGGCCCAUCUAUACUUUCAAAGCCAUCCAAUUCUUCAUUUGGUUCCUACACGGAUGUAAGAUCUUACUUUUCUUUGGACAACUUCACUAUCCUUAUCCAGAGGAAUAUUAUUUCUAUCCUAUAAUGAGUGAUCAGGAGCAAGAGCACAAAUAAUUCAACAAAGAAAAAUUCAGUCUAUGUUCCAAGACUGCAUUACAAUUGUUGAAUGAGCAGAGCACUUCAUUUACCAUGCUAUUGGUUCUAUAAUGUAUGUUGGUAGAAAGUUUUCUUUGUCUUGCAUGGGAUUAAGCUUGAGUCAUUCAUUACCAUAUUGUAGUAGGUGCUUACGUAAAGAAAGGAAAAAGAGUACUAUAUUAAAUAAUGACAAUUGAAUUUUAUGCAGGAUGUUCAUCUUCUGCUUGGUGGGGACCAGAAGAAGAAGUCCCUGCAAGGGAUUAAGUUCUUGUCAUUUAUACGGACAAGUGCAAGAAGUCAUAGAAAAGGAUGGUGACAAUAUUUUUAAUCAAAAACAUAGAACUCUAGUUUGCGGACAUAUUCCUUUUUACUGCUUUUAUAUAUAGCUAAAACAUGUUUAUGAUAUAUGGUGCAGAAGUUUUGCAGAAUUUGGAUCCAUGUUCGACUCAACAAAAUGAAUGAUUCUAUUUUCUUUUCUAUCGAGGCACCUUUUUUUUGAGAGAGAGAAAGGAAUGGAGACCCACCUGCACUAAUCAUCCAGGUUCAGUUUUUUUGGGAUGCAUCAUCCAAGAAUCGAACCAAGAGCUUCUGGAUGCUAAGCAGAGGGGUGCGAGUCUUGCAGCCACUGGGACGAGCCCCAGUUCACUUUCUGCCAAUGCAUGGAUCAAAUACUAAGAAGCAUCUCUGGGACCUGCUAUCCCAUGUUUUUUAUGCCUAAUUCCUGUCCUAAGCAAGUGCGAUUCCAGUCUGUGUAAGUGAAUAACUGCCCCAUACCAAUUAGCUUGGAAAGAAACUUCUAGCCUAAUGUAAUGUUCCAUCUAUUUUGCUGAAAGUAAUUAAAUUGUCUCAGAUCUAACGUAAUAUGUGGUUCGAUGAUCAUGUAAAUGUGAGUUUGAUAUGAAACAUGUAACGAGCUACACAAACUCCUAGUAGGUGAAUUGACUGAGAGGUAGUGAUAAUAGACCAAAGAUGCAAUUGGAUCUUCCGCUUAUUUUACACUUCAGAAAUGAGCUGAAGAUAUAGGUAAGCUUUCCAAUGGCCAAGAGAUCCUGCAUGAAUGUUGAAUAUUGAAGUAAAAGCCUAAAUAUGCCUGACCAGAAAACAAGUCUUGGUUAUGUGUUAUUGAUGUUGGAAACAUGCAAGCUCUUUUCUUGGAGAAAACUUGACAUCUUCUAGACUAGUUUCAUUAUGACUCAGAAUUGAUUUCAAAAAUUUGUUUUCAUCAAAUCUCUAAAUAGUGUAUACCAUCUAAAAUUGAUUUUGGAAAUAUUAAAAGGAAAUAUAACAGUGUUCACAAUCAUCUACUUCAACACUAAAGGUUUAAGGGGAAAAAGGUGAUCAUCAAUUUACUUAUUUCUUAUUGUAAACUCAAAAUCAAAAGAAUAUAAAUGAACCUGGAAUUUGUUGAAUUAUUCAAUUCAAAUUGAAUUAUCAACUGCCAUUUGGCUGGGCAAUCAUUACUAGUAAUUCUGGCUUCAAGCAGGUGAUUUGCAGCCUGCAAUCUGAAUGGAAUCCUAUUACAGGUUUCGUCGUUCCAUAGCUUCUCCUUUAAUGCUUAGGCCUGGACUCUGUAAUGGAGCUUCUGGCAAAAUUAUUCCCUAUUACACCCACUCUCAUGAUGCCAAAUAUUGGUUAUCAGUCACUUUGAUGCCAAAGGUUGGUCAUUGGGCCCCACUCUGGGUGAUUAGGAUGUGUUCUGGUAAUUUAUGGAAAAUUUUACAUCAUAAUUAAAAUCUGUGAUAUAUGAUAAGCAUCGGUAGAUUUCAUUAACUGAGAAGGAGAUAAGCAAACUUCCAAAUGUAGGUUCAUUAGGAUGUUUUCAUGAAAUUUAGUGACUCCGUCUGUUCCACAGUCUACUAUUAAAUUUAUUGAGGUCCAUUGAAAUUACAAUGAUGAAAAUGAUAGCGUUCAUCAAAUUCGAAAACAUAUACUUGUCUACCAGUCUGCAACUACCAAUCCCAAGGUAAAAUAGGAAUUACAUGCUGUAACCCUUGAUGAAUUCGCUUACCCAAAGUUAUUCAGAUUUUCAUUUUAAUGGAUCUCAUUCAGUGUUGCAGGCAUGGACUGCAACAUUUGUAGCCAUCCAUACCUUUGCUAUUGCUAAGGACUAAUGAAAUUUGGUACUAAGAAGGUAGCCUAGUGUAUGCGUCCGUUUGCUUAUGACACCAUAGUUGAAUUAUUUAGCCUUCUCAGGUGGGAGACAAUUAUCUAAAUUGACUGAGACAACUAAUUAAUGACCAACCAUGAACAAUAAUUCUUAGGUUGGAAAAUCCUUUGCAAAUCACUGGUUCAAAAUUGAUUGACAAAAAAGCAUGAUUUGAUCUGAGAGCUGCUAUCAACAUCUGAGUUGGUCUUUUGCAUCAAGGAAUCCUUUAAACUACUUCAGAGGAAUGAUGGCCAAGUCACCAACAUAACACGUACUAGAAAAGGAGGAAAACAUGAAUGGAGAAGACUGGUAGUUUGGCAUGCUAUCCAGUUUCAUUGUACCAAUUGGCUUUACAUUAUCUGAGUCCAUUAGAUAAUUUUAGAUGAUUAAAGUGAAUUAUGUGUUUAAAAUUGGUUAUCGAUACACCAACGGUAGGAGAGAGAAGUUUAGAGCCAUUUCAUCAUACUCCUAUUGAGAUCAUGCUCGUGUUGUUAUUGAGAAAACAAUUCAGUUUACUGAAAAAGAAUAUGAUAGGAAUUGGGUGUGUAGAUUACCAUUCUCCAUUUCAAACAAUAAAUUGGUCAAUAUAACUGUUUAGAAAGUGAUGCAUCUUUAACUACCAAAUGCAUAUUGCUAUUAGCUCAAAUAAAGAACAAAAGGAGAGGGGACAACUUAGGGCUCAUAUGUUACUUUCAUAAUUGGCAAAUUGUGCAGAUAUUUGGAAACUUCAAUAUGGUACUGAAUUAUUCUAAACUACAUCAUAAAAAAUGAAAUUUAAUCCUGAUUCUUUACUAAUAGAGAGAAAAAUGUGUGCUAUAAAUAGACAAAAUCUUAAGAAUAGUUAGUCCUUGUUCCUGUGGCAGAUACUUGGACCUCCAAAAUAAGAAUCAACCUAUCUAUAUGUCCCUUUUACCUUCUGGAAAUGCCACUCUGAUAAGAUGUUAGCAACCUGAAAAGUUAUAACAAAUAGGAAGACAUGGCUUACAAAUGAAACAAUUAAUUCAGUUCAUGUGACCAGAGAAAUGAGCGACUCUUGUAUAAUUUUCUUGUUAUAACUGAUGGCUUAUUGGCCACUAGCCAUGUACCAUGAUGCAAUAUUGUCCUGCAUGACAUCGUCUGCUUUGAUGCUUUUUUUUUUCCUUUUCCUUCCAAGUUUUGCUUGAUUAAUAGCGUUAGCCUUGUAGCAUAAGAAACCAAAAAGCUUCUGAAGGAAGAAAUGGGAUAGCUUUCUUAAUUUCCUUGCCCUUAAUGCAUGGAAGGUAGGUCCAAACAAAAUCAAGAAGAGGCAAAAGAAAGAGGUCUGGAUUUCUAUUAUCCAGAAACGACCAAUGGGAAUAAAUGCCUAUAGCUUGUGCUACUAGAUUUCCUUCUUGUGUUCAUUACCAUAUCUACCAUUCCACAACUAACUGAUUCAACCACCUUGUUUGCCACAUGAUGAUUUGUUUUAAAAUUUGGAGUGCAAAGUUUGCCCACUUGUCGAAUUUCUACCCAAGCUUCAACCAAAUGACUCAAAAUUCUCUUCCUUGUUUUUUUCCCAAAAAAAUGAAGGCUUAUCUAAAAUAUUUUCAACUUUUAUAUCCAGUGUUUUACCUACAUGCCUUGCAAAAAUUCUAAAUAAAUGUGAAUUUUGAUAGAGAUCAGUUAAAUCUAAACAUUCUGACAUUCUAACCAAUUUAGUCUAAAAACAUUUGGAAGCAAACAAUAAAACAUACUCAUGCACUCCAGCUCACAGAUAUCCUAGUCCAUUGCUUUCAUGAUACUAUCAUCUUUCCUAUAGAUGUUCUGCUUCUGUUGGUUACCUUUUGGGGAAGAUUUACUAUAACUUGGAGGCAAAUUCAUUAAAUUCAUUGAUUCCCAUAGCAUUAACAAGGCAUAAGGGAACUGAGAAAGAAGAGUCAAAGCCAUCUUUUGAAUCAGGGUUGCCUCUUAUCUAGGUCAAAUGUGUAUUAAUUCAUCUGAUCGGUCAGUCACGUCUAUUCUAGUAUGCAAACAAACCAGAAGAAAGAAAAAAAUAGUAAUAAUUUAGAUUUCUUUUUCUGUUAAGACUUUCAGAUAUUUUAAGACUACAUGAGCUCUAUUUAUUCAGUCAGUCAUGUAGAGCUUCAGGUGAUGAAAGUAAGUACUUUAAAUUGUCAGGGAGAAAUUUUAAGUUACGGAGUGAUUACGUGUUUGUACAAUUGAGUUUACAUGAUACACCAUUCUAUACAUUCAACAAUGCCACAUAAAGUAAAGGUCAUGUUUGGGUUCUUUGAUCUUUAGAAUCAUAUGAUCUGGAUUUUCAUCAUUAGAAAAUUAUGGAAAUUCAAUAUUGAGAUUUCCAGAUGCAAUUUGGUUGAGACUAAGAAAGUUAGCCAAAAGGAGGGGAGAAUUUGUAAAAUAUGAAAAGUAUGCUCUGCAUAUAGAAAUAAAUAACAUUAUGACAUGCAAUGCAAGCUAAGCUCCCUACAGAUCAGUUACUUUCUUGAGCUGGGUGUAUGAGAAUUCAAAGGCGGUGUGUUAUACUUUUCUCACUCUAAUUUCCCUUGGCAUGUAACAUAUCCUUGUUUUACAGUGCAGUAGCUACUCUUGAAGUAGCAUACUAAAAGAGCACCUUGUUAUAUCAUUUACAGAGUAUAUCAGAAUGCAAACAUACCUUCUCAUCUAAAAAGAUAUAAACCAUCAUGAUUUCUACAUGCAUCGAAACACAACCUCAUUGGCAUAGUAUGCACAGCUGAUACACCAUGGCAUGUUAGGUAACCUAGUCAUCACUUAUGCCAGAAUAGCCAAUCAGUAGCUUGGGGAAAGGAGACCAUUUACCAGUAAUCAGGCGAGAAAGGAGCAUCUGCAUUCAUAAUACUCCGCAAUCUCCAACAGAAGUAAUGUUUUUAUUGCCAUUAAGCAAAUAUCCACUUGUACUCGAUGAAAUGGAACAGUGUACUACCCGAGAUCGAUUGUCUGACUACUGAACAACCAUUCAAGCUUAUGGCCGCCAAUAAUGAAGGAUUGCCGGAUGGUCACCAUUGAACUUUCCAAUGAGUGCAGCAUUACCCUUGCCAUACACGGAUCUGAAUUAAAUACCGGCAUCUACGCGACUUAAAGAUUUUCUUACGUUUGCGGCACGGCACGUAAAGAAUAUCUUCCAAAUACUCCUCUACAAAUCUUGACUCAAUUAGGAAGAUGUGGAAGAUUGAAGAUUCAUUUAAAUAUUGACUCCAACUCCAUGCAAAAGAAAACAGCUUCAGAAAUCAGAAGCCCUCACCAUUAGAUAGAAUUUUCUUUCUUUUCCUUUUUCUGUUUAAUAAUACACAUAUAAUGUUUUUUUUCUCUCAAGAUAUUAGGGGCAAUGAGGCUAAUAGUGAGAUUGAGAAAUGAAGCAGCCAGAGGCUGUACUGGCUGAAACCAUUGGCAAUAAAGAAUAAGGGAUGCUUCCUUUCAGGCCUGCUUUGGCUGCUUUGGGCCCGGGACUAAGGUGGUAUUGGUAACAAUGCAAUAAGCGCCAAGUACACAUAACUAACAUUCAAUACCUAACCGUCCUGCAAUGAACUCUCCCUCUCUAAUUUCCUCCCUUUGUUUUAUGUCCUUUAUUUCACAUUCCAAACCCCAAACACCUCUCCCUCUAUCUCUCUCUCUCUCUCUCUCUCGUGUGCAUCUUUUCUACCUUAUAUUAACACUUCCAAAAACCCAUUUCCUCCUCCAACUUUCUUAUAGAGCUUCCAUUGCAUCAGAAAGAGCUGUCCAAGGAUGGAUGCUGGAAACACUCGUACCAAAGACUUCUUCGCAUCGCCAGCACUCUCCCUCUCACUUGUAAAUACUCUUUAUCUUUCUUCAUACAGCAAUCGCUGUGCACCACGAUAAUUUUGCGAUAUCAUGAUAAACUUAAAUUUUUUAUUCCAAUUCCAUUAGGCUGGCGUGUUCCGUAAUAUCGAGGUGGUAGAAGAGGAGGUGGAGGAAGGGGACGAGGGGAGCGGUGGAGGUAGUAGAGGGGAACCAGUGGAGAUCAGCAGUGAGAACACUGGGCCGGGCGGUCAAUCGGAUGAAGAUGGAGGGGACAAUGGAUUGGCCGACGAGGAUGGAGAGGAAGGGAAUAAGAAGAAAAGGAGAAAGCAGUAUCACAGGCAUACAACUGAACAGAUAAGAGAAAUGGAAGCGUGAGUUCUAUACUCCUAUUUGCCUUUGCUUUGCAUAUAUAUAUAAUGGAUUAGGUACGUAGACAUGCAUGAAAUCAAUGGCCGAGUAUACGUUCAGCCGUAUGAUGAGUUACUGAAUUAGCUGGGGAUGCGAUACGUCCUUCAGACUAUUUUUAUGAAUCAAAUAGGCGUAAAAUUUGAUUGAAAUGAUGAAAGAAAGAAAAAGUAGCCACUCUAUGUCCAAGAAUUAUCUUGUAAAGUGGUCUUUACUAUUAAAUUGUUGUUACUAGACAUAAUCUAAGUUGACUCAGGCCAUCUGAGAAAACCAGGAUGAUACCCAAGUAUUCUUUUUCCUUUCUUUUUUUUAUAUAUAUAAUUUUUGAUGGGAAGGAUGAUAUCCAAGUAUUCGAAAACAUGAUUUAAGAAAUCCUAAAUCCUCAUCUUAUUCCUUCAGUUUAUCCACCCAUAAGAUCAAUAUUUCUUCGUUUCCUAAAUCCUCAUCUUAUUCCUCAUCUUAUAAAUCCGCUUCUUGUCCUCCACAAAAAUCACGUACAGCUCGGAACUUCCGAAAAAAAGAGAAUGGUUACUAGCCAAUUUAACCCAGAAUCAGCAUAUAUAAGCUCGUGUGAUUCUCCAAAAUUAUGUAAUACUAUUUUUUUCUUUCGGGAAACAAAGGAAAUUAUUUGGUAACAUGUGUUGUUGAAGCUAAUUUGAGAUUAGAUUAUUAGUGGGCCAUAUUCUCUCCAAUUUGGCAGUACAAACUGUUUAAAUUAGGUAAAUUGUUCGGCAGAAGCACUAAUAUAUCCAUACCGACUAAGAGCUUAAAAAAAUUCAGAGCAGAAUUGAGUUCCAUAAUGUUAGCCAAGAAGGCCACAAUUGGAACACUGCCGAACAAUGGAGAUCAGGAAACAAUGCCCGUUUGGAUCCUAAUAUUGUUUCUUGGCAUGGGUACAUCAGGUUAUUCAAGGAGUCACCACAUCCAGAUGAGAAGCAGAGGCAGCUGCUAAGCAAACAAUUAGGCCUCUCAGCCAGACAAGUGAAGUUCUGGUUCCAAAACCGGCGAACCCAGAUCAAGGUAACCAUGCGAAGGACCUGUUUUUGCAUCUUAGCAGAAAAUUUUAUAUGUUUAAAUUAAUUAUUUGCUCAAAAAAUUACACAUUUACAAAAUAGUUGGUGUAAUCUUUUUUUUCCCUCUUAUAUUUUGGGGCUCAUAAGGCUUUUUAAGGUCCCUCAGGCAAUACAGGAGCGGCAUGAGAACUCCCUUCUGAAGUCAGAGAUAGACAAGCUUCGAGACGAGAACCGGGCCAUGAGGCAGAUGAUUAAUAAAGCAUGCUGUCCCAACUGUGGAUUUGCUACCUCAAGCAAAGACACUGCAAUGACUACUGAAGAACAACAACUACGAAUCGAGAAUGCCAGACUUAAAGCAGAGGUAUGUAAAACAACUCAUGGUUAAUCCAGUUGAUUACAUUCAGUUAAGGUUGCUGCUUUUUUGUUGUUGUUGUGAGGACCCGGGUGGACGUGUGUUUAGUCUCACAUCGGUUAUUUACCAAGGAGAUCCUGAGUACUUAUACAGGACUAAGGAACCCAAAAAUUACCUUUCAACUAGUCUUUUUGGAUGAGAUCCUGGGUUGUUACAAUUGUUGUUUUCUAUCAAAUUCUUUGGAUAAUUUUGUUGUCAUUGCUGUUGCUGUCACCUGUUGCUAUAUUUGAUUCUAUGGAUGCUAGUACUAAGUCCUCAGUCUCAUCUCUACUAUCACUGCUGAAAACAUCUCAUUUGAUGCCUUUCAAUAUGUAGAUAGAAAAGUUGCGAGCAAUGCAUGGAAAGGUUGCUGAGGGAACUGCUUCACUGAGUUCAUCAUACUCAGCAGGCACCGACCAAAACAACAGAAGUUCUUUGGAUUGCUACAGCGGGUUCUUUGGGCUGGAGAAGUCUAGAAUUUUAGAGGUUGCCAAUGCUGCCUCGGACGAGCUGAUGAAGAUGGCAACAACCCUUGAACCUUUGUGGGUCCGAAGUGUUGAGACUGGCCGUGAAAUACUCAACUAUGAUGAGUACAUUCGAGAAUUCUCACCUGAGAUUUCCAGCAGAGGACACGUUAGGCAUUCGAUUGAAGCAUCUAGAGAGUCAGGAGUUGUCUUCUUGGACAUCUCAAGCCUUGUAAAAGCUUUCAUGGAUGUGGUAUGAUCUCUAAGUUUGACUUAACUGUUGCUUGCAAUAUAUUUAACUUUCAGCCCAAUUCUACCACCUUUUUAAUCCACGUAACAAUAUUAGCCAUCUAAAAUUACUUAGUUGCCACAUACUGUAUGCACUCUUCUCUGUACUACAAAUUUUUCUUCAUAUUAGCCUACUUAUUUAGUUUAUCGAGUUUCUGAUCUAUGAAAAGCUCAGCUUGAGCAUAAAUGUUCAAAUAAGUGGAGCUCUAAAAACUACUUGAGCUCGAUUUAUUUUCUAAAUUAACCAAGACAAGACGGGACUGAGCAUAUCAGAAACAGUUUGGAUUGUUUGCGGCCCUACCAACCUCCCUCCCUCACAUUUUCUUUACUUAGGAUAAGUUGGACCUAUCUUUUUGACAUGCCAUGAUAUUUGAACUUUCCAUUAAAUUAAACUGCACAUUCAUUAUCUGAAGUAGAAGUUUAUUGUAUAGAACUGUUAAUAUCUUCUCAUUGGCUUCUCUGGUCUCCAGAAUCGUUUAUCCAACUCAACUAAAAUAGAACAGCAUGCAUGAACUUUUUGGUGUAUGUCCGUAUGUUUACCUUAAUCUCCUUUUUUUUGUUGUUGUUGUAGAACCAAUGGAAGGACUUAUUUCCUUGCAUGGUUUCCAAGGCAUCCACCAUAGAUGUUAUUUAUAACGAAAAUGGUGAAAGUGGAGAUGGCACUAUACAACUGGUAAGCCUUUUCUUCUCAAAAAAAAAAAGAAAAAGAAAAAAGAAGCUAGUAACUUCAAACAAUGCAAGCAAGUAUUGUCAUCUCUAGAGCUUGCUCUUUAGGUUUAAUUUAAAUGACUCGAACAUCAAGUUAGAAGUAGAAAUAAUU